Molecule: long non-coding RNA, 80853 nt
Filed under: Fragaria vesca (wild strawberry)
Lineage: Eukaryota; Viridiplantae; Streptophyta; Magnoliopsida; Rosales; Rosaceae
Description: long non-coding RNA (FVES_LNC003169)
Source: RNAcentral
GCUGGAUAUUACAGUUCUGGAACACCACGGCUGCAUUGCCAAAGAUGAAGUCAAUGGUGCCUGUGAUGUCACAAUCACGAUAGAAUUGUCGGUUUGAGUGAGCAUAGAGUGUGUCUUGGAAUGCAUCAAAUGAGCAUCUGUAGUACACAGAUUGGUCUGAACCAGAUCGGAAUGCCACUGCUUGGUGCUUUGCCGCUCCAGCAGUGUUAAUGAACCCCAUAUCUUUCGCAAUAAACCCUUUUCCUGCAACAGCUGGUAGAGCAAAAUACACUCCUUGUAAGCAUUCAGGACAUUUCAGAAGCUGAGUUUCAAUGUAUGUUUGAAUAAUAAAGUUCUCAACAGCCUCAAUUCACAUAUUUCUCACUGUGAAAGAAAGAAAUUCCAACACAUAGUCCUAUGUUAAUUGACAUGACCAGUUAUUUUGAGGGUCUUCCUAAAUUCUAAAAUAACAAAGAAACCAACUGGGGAAUUGUUGCCUAUGAUGACUAUAGUGCAAGCCAACAAGAAUACACUACAUACAGAAUCUAAAACAGUGAAACUUGGUUUAUGACUUUCCCCACCAAUAUGACUGCCUAUUCUUACCAGCCAUAGUACGAGUCAACUGCCAUACAAUUUCAGCAGACAUGUACAUGUUUAUCACUAUCAUUUGGAAAACGUCAGAAGAAAAAACCACAUGGUUAUGCAGGCCAAACUUGCAUUUCUGGGUCAAGCUUAUAUGCUAACUUGCAUCAGUCAUAUUAUAAAUGGAUCAAAAGGGGCCACCACAUGAACAUCAAAGUAAUAUAUAAUCCACUCAAACUAGACAAGCACAUGGUAGGGGCAUCAACCGUCCACACAUCUCAGUAUCUCUCACCCAGAUAUCCAAUCCAUUUUUUAGUAUUCUAACCAACUUUGAUUUGUUCGUAAGAAGAACAACAAGACCAACAACUCAAGAUGCAGAUGGAGAAUUGUUUUAGGUGAAAGUAGCACAUCAGUUUAACAUGGUGACGCCUAAACCAUGUGCCUAGUUCCCAAUUUGACACCACCAAUAUCAAAAAACACGGAAAGGCAACUCUGGUUUAGCUAUGGUUUCCUAAUUGACCCCAACCACACUGGGAACUCCUUCAGUUCUAAAGCAGUAAAGAUGAAUGCUUUUCUUCUGUUAGCCAGUAAAGAUGAAUAUUUUGAAAGCUUUGGAAGACAGUUAGGCUAGCAAAGUUAUAGUGACACAUUAUGAUCAAAUUAAUCAAACUCAAACUCAAAUUAAAGAAAUGGUAGACUAGACUGGGAAAGAAAUUAAGAUCGAAAUUCAAACAAGGAAAUGAGGAAGAAUUAGUACCAAAAGUGGCAGUGUUGAAAGUCGCAGUCCCAUCUACAAAGUUCAACUUCCCAGAAACAAUGGUCUUGGCCUUGCCAUCUCCAUACAUCAUCACAUUCCAUUUGUUCUUGUCCAUAAUCACAUUUUCCAAAUACGUCCCUUGCUUCACAUAUAUCACAAACCUGGUCAAGUUCUUCUUGGGCACAGCAUUCACAGCCUCUUGAAUGGUCUUAAAAUCCCCGGUACCAUCCUGCGCCACGGUCACGUGCGCAGUCAGGUUCUGCUCCUGAAGCAGCCUUCUGUCUCCCGGGCUCACCCAGCCCGGGAACUCCGGUACGGAAGAUUCUUCGUACCCGAGUAACCUCCGGUGAACCGGAAUCCCCAUUCUGGACAGUAAAUCCAGAAUUUUCGCCACAAUGGCCAGGCUGUUGCUGGCGUAUUCCGUCGAGUUCUGCAUAGCAUCCCUGAAUUCCUGAACCAGAGUUGAAUUGAGUUCUUCAAGAGAGUCAAGGCAGGUGUCUUGGUCAGUCAUGGAGGCGGUGAUCCACGUUUUUAAGUCGUUGAUCUUCGUCUGAGACAAGAGCUUAUCGCUGGAACCGAUCUCCAUGGAAGAGAGUGAGUCGUUAAGCUUAUCCACAGCGUCGUCGAAAAGGGUCUCGCAGACCUUGAAAGCCUCGUUGAGCUUGGUAUCAUUUCCGAUCUUGCUCUUGAGUUUCGAAGGCAAGUCCUUGAGCUUCGAGACCUCGUCAAUGGCGACAUGCAGGGAGAGCUUGAAGAGCGCUUCUGGGUCGGUGGUGUUGGAGUUCUUGAGAGAAGAGAUGCUCGAGAAACACGAGUUGGGGUAAAGGGUGACGUCGCAGACAGCUUUUAAAGAAGAGGAGGGAGUCAACUGGGUGGCGGGUUCGGUUGGUGACGGCGACGAUGAGCUGUUGCGGUUGUGGAUGACGGUGCCGGUGACGGCGCCGAUGAUAACGGCUACGAGGACAAUGAUGGAGACGAUGACGAUGAUGAAGCGCUUUCGGGUCUUGCGCCGGAAGGCUUGCUCUUCGAGCUCGUCGACUUUGCCGUAGCCUUUAAAGGAGGUCAUGGAGUCCAUAUUUUCUAGUGAACGACUGCUUUUGGUUUUGUUGGUUUUUUGCUUCUGGGUUUAGUUUUGGGUUGUGUCACUUGUGUGAGGGUUUAGUUUAGAGAAAGCUAAGAUUUUUGGGUUGCUUUUUAUAAAAGGGGUGGAAGUGAUGAGGAGGAGGAGGCCCCAGGAAGCCAUCACUUUCUUUCUAGGAUGAUGCUUCUGGAUUAAGAAUGUUAAUGUUAAUGUUAAUGUUAAUUUUAAGUUGAUUGAUUACAGUUUGUAGUUUAUGAUCGUGAUCCCUAUGACAAUAUGGGAAGAAAAUUGUGCUGCAAUGGUGAAAUGACUUUGUUACUGAGCAUAAUUAAUCCCAGCACGUUUUGAGUGGAUGUUUGUUUAUCUGAUGCUAAACAAGGCUGCAAUUGGACAGGUGGGAAUGUCAUUUGCUUCCUAAUAACAUGGCCUCACAUUGAAGAGUUAAACCUGUUUUACUUCCUUCGGGUGUCCGAAUAGUUGAAAGAAACUCUUGUUUGUGGGACAUUAGAUUUUUCUAAUCAUCACAUAUUAGACAUUAGACACAUGUAGUCGAUGAAUUCAAGUUUUAACUCAUAUAAAAUUUUAUAGGAAAAAUGCCUAAAUGGUCAGAAACAAGAAUUCAAAAACUUAUUUCAAUAAAAAUAAUAGUCAAACGUCCGUUUUAAUGAAUUAUAAGCAAAAGACAAAAUUAACCUUUGCAUAUUAUCUAGAAAUAAAACGUAGCCAUGUCUCUGGAUCAGAACCUCUNNNNNNNNNNNNNNNNNNNNCUCUCUCUCUCUCUCUCUCUCUCUCUCUCUCUCUCUCUCUCUCUCUCUCUCUCUCUCUCUCCCCCUUCCUUCACCAUCCUCGCCUCCGCCGUGCUGCUGCACCAUCUCUCCUCCGCCUGCGACGCCGGAAACACUAUCCAAAUCCAAAACGUCGGCGUUUGAUUCCUUCCUGGAGACCGAGCCCUCGUCGUCGCUCUGGCGCUCUUCACCCUUCGCUUGGCACUCGGUACUCUGUUCUCGUCAAUCAGUGCUCGGUGGUCGGCUGUUGGCCUUUGGCGCUCGCCGCUCGGCCUAACUGAAGCAGAUCUGGUCCUGAGCCUCCUCCUAAGCGCCGGCGACGAAUGUAGCAAUGAUUUUUUCAAGUCACAAGGUGAAAAGGUGAGUGGACUUGAGGAAGGUGUGAGGAUUCUAAGUUGCAGCGUCGCUAGCCUUCGGCAAAUUGGGGUCCCGAACAACGUCGUUGAGGACGGUGAGCUUUGCUGGGCGACGGAGGAAGGCUGGUUGUUGCUUAGUCUCUAAGAGGUAUGACGGUCAGAGGAAGACUGGUUCUGAGUUGUAUCGUAAGGUUGGACGCCGGAGUCGACGCCAACGCCGAUCGGGAAGUGUUUAGGCGCUAGCUUUGGGUGCCCAGAGCAAUUUUUUGGUUUGGGCUUGGGUCCUUGACAACGGGCUGGAGGUUUGGAUGCCCUUAUGGCCUCACAGUAAUGUUUCAACAUUUUAUUAGGGUUAGUAACUAUUAUUGGGGUCAAUAACUGGAUUAUGUUCCGGUAUUUCUUCUUAUUCUAUUACUAUAAGCUGAAAUAAGUUGAUUAUUGGGGGUAAGUAACUGAUUAUUAGAGGUUAGUAACACGAUUAUUAGGGGUCAGUAACUGAUUACUGGGGGUCAGUAACUGAUUACUGGGGGUCAGUAACUGGUUACUGGGUGUUAGUAACUAAUCAGUAACUGGUUACUGGGGGUCAAUAAUUGGUUACUGGGGGUCAGUAACUGGUUACUGGGUGUCAGUAACUGAUCAAUAACUGGUUACUAGGUGUCAGUAACUGGUUACAGGAGAAAUUUUGGUGACCGGAGUCCCGCGGCCGGUGACCGGAGUCCGACGGCAGGUGACCGGAGUCCGACGGCCGGUUACUAGAGUCCGGUGAGAUUCUGGCCAAGUAUUCUCUCUUUCAUUUUCUCUCUAUGCAUGUUUAAGGGGUGAGGGUAAAAUAGUCUUAAAAUAAUAUGAUUUGUUAAGACUUUAGUAAAGAUUUGUGCAUUUGGGCAUAAAUAUUUGUGUAUUUGGGCAUAAAAAAACUUACUUUAUAUUGAAAUGGGCUAAUGAAAAAGAUUAUCAUUGGAAUGAGAAAUAAAGGAUUUAAAUUAAUACUAAAUGAGUAUUUUCCCUUCUAUAAUAUUUGUUUAUUCAGUAAAGAAUGUUGAAAGUAACGAGAUAUCAUGCCUAAUUGGGUUUUCAACUAUUAGAUCCCUCUUGCUAUUGAUCUUCUCAUCACAUUUGGACAUUUGAAUCGGUUCCGAUUCAUAGAAGACUUUCCCUGAACAUAGAUCAGAACUUGUUGUCCAUGCUGUCACAUGUUAGUUAAAUUUAUGUAGCAUAUACACCUUGAUUGGUUUUCCACACUAAGUAGAUUUUAAGCCUAUAAUCACGGUUCAUCUCACAGAGAUCAUUAUCCAAGUUUUGAAGAUUGUAUUUUUUUUUUUUUUUUUUUUUGAAAGUUUGAAGAUUGAUUAUUUGCUUCAGGGGUGAUGGAUCCAGCUGUAUAAUACCACAAUUGUUUAUAAAGAUUCAACUUUGGAAUCCAUUUAUCCAAUUUUGGUUGCAGGAAGCUGUGUCCUGAUUUGCAGAGAGGAAGGAGAGAGUGAGGUACUGGGACACGGCUAAGUAAACCACAUCAGAAAGAAUCAUGAAACAAACAGAAAACCGAAAAGGGUCGACAUCAACUCCCACACAUAUAUGUCAACUCCCCACCACAUGAGACGAUCUGCAGACCAAUCUUAGAAGACCAAGUUGUUCUGCUCAUGUCCAAGCAUCCAAUCAAGCCAAGUAGCAAAACGAGUGGAACCCUCAUUUUCAAUUGUAUUUUCAUUGUGUCAUCGGAAAAGAAAUUGUAUUUUCUUCCAUUCCCACAUAGGACAAUCAUGCAUAUAUAGAUAGAAAAGGGGUUAAAAAUGGGGGGUUUCGCAGAACAGGUAGUAUCUAUAUGUGUAGGACUAUUUCAACGAGCUAGGUGAUGAUUGCUCUGUGCUGUGUUCUUCAGUUUCAAUAUUGGUAUUGGGAAGCCGGUGUGCCACUAAUCUAUUCUAUUAAUCUAUGGUGAUCAUUUUCCAGCUAGUUCAUGAACAUGUCAAAAGAUUGGACUAAGCAUCCUAUAUGUGCUCGACAUUUUUAUGCAACAAUGUGGAUACGUAUCCUCCCUUAGGUUGCCAAAUGGACCUGUAACAAUAUACAGAAUAAGCUUAACUAUCUACUUAUUUUCUUUGCAAGCAUAUAUUGUAGUUUAUAUUUGUAAGGUUUAAGGUUGAGCAGUCUUAGGUUUUAGACGUACGUAUGUAUCGAUCUGGGGUUGAGUAAUAGUUGUAUAUAUACAGGCAUAUAGCUUUCUUUUCCUUCCUAUCAUUUCUACAGAUCGCCUUUCUUCUUCUUCUUCUUCUUCUUCUUCUUCUUCUUCUUCUCGGUGAGCAUAUGUACGGCCUUUUACAAUAAGGAUCGUUUAUCUUCAAGAUCACUCUUUAAUGAUCCUUUCUACUACAAUCAAGAUCAACAAAACUGCAAUGCAUAUCGUUUGACUGAUCUAUAGUGCGAAAUAAAGAAAUAUGUAUGUUAAUAGUUAAGCAUAACUAGUUAUCCAAUAACGUUCAUAUGGAUUAUAUAGAACUUUUUGUUUUAAGAAAAUUGGGUGUCAAUCAAGUAAAAGUAUAAAUUAUUAUAAACUAUAUAGCUCACUUAAGGAGGGUUACAAUAAAAUUGAUUAAUUUCCGGUGACAUAUUGGUCUAAGACUACCUUGCAAGCUAAACAAUGCCACUUAAAAGUUGUAACAAUUCAUUGGAAGAAAAAUAAAGCUAACGAUAAUAAUGGUUGGCCUCUCCAUUUUUCUUUUUCACCCUAUCGCGCCCCAUCUUUUGAUGUUCGAACACAUGACCUCUUAGUAAGAAGAUAAGGUCUUAUUACCCCGCCAAACAAACUUCACUCCAUUUACCAUUUGCAGUUUGUCUUGGUAACAUAUAUAAACAAAAGGAGAGCUUCUAAUGAUGACCUUAUAAUGAGGACUAAUUGAGGAUUUUCAAAUGAAUGGUUGGAUGAAUGUUUUAACUUUUAAUUGAUAUUUUCAAAUUCCUAUGUGCAUGUAAUCCAACCGUUCAUUCGAAAGUCCUCACUUGGUCCUCAUUAGAAGCCCCCCUAUAAACAAAACUAAAAUGACACAAGUUAUUCAUAUAAACAAUCAAACAUGGCUUAAAUUCACAAACACAUAGGAGUACACAUCAAAUAAUUUGAUUUUUUGAGCAAAGAGCGGCAUCUUACUAAUAUACGGCAAUACCGUGUGCCGAUGUGAAUGAAGCUCAUUAUACGAAGCCGGCAAUUGCGCCAACAAGGGACCCAAAAUAUAUACUUCUUCUUCCUCGCAUUCCAUUUCUCCUAUAUUUUCAAUCUUUUCUUUGCAAGAAAUGAAAAGAAACCUAAUUUGAUGCAACUUCGAUCAUAAUUUCAUUUUCUAAUGUACGAGAAAAAGGAUAAAACAUAACGACCAAAACAGCAAAAUACAAGAACACAGCUGAAAGGUAAGACACAAAGAAAGGUCGACUUAGUUUGCAAAUAGGAAGCAGCAGCAUACAUUUUCUAUAUAUGAUAAUGCACUAUAACGUAGUAAACAUACUGAUCGACCAAAGAAGCCCACAGCAUCUCACUCCCUCUAUUAUAAUCCUAAGUACCAGCUGUUCUUUAUAUUUGAUUAUAAGCGUUGAACGCUUUUUGGUGAAUCUUAUUUCCGGUAACCAGGACGUUGAAUGACGUUGAGAUUCAAAAGAGGUCGAGAUUCUAUUUUGAUUUAAAAAAAAAAAAAAAAAAAGGUAGACCUAAUUUACCCCAAAUUUUCAACGUUUUCUUUUCUGAUUUGUAGUUUUUGAUGUUUUAUUAUACGAUUGUAACAAGUAUUACAAAAAACUUUGGAGUUUGAUGUCAGUAAAAACAUGACAACAAAGCAAUGAUAUGUAUGCCAUACGAAUAAAUAGAAAAAAAAAAAUGUUCUUUAUAAUUCACACAAUAUAAGCCGUUCUUGAAAUAGGGUAUCUAGGUACAAGCACCAUGGGACUCAAGUCCCACUCAAAUAUUUUGGGGAAAAAAAUUACUACUUAUAGUUAUCAUUAAUUUUAUGGUGUGAUUGUAAGAUUGUUGAGCUUAAGCCCCACUCAAAUUCCUUCAUCUUGUACAAUUACUAAUCAAAUAUUUUUUAGGAUAGUCUCACUCAAGUCCUAGCUAGCAUUGACGUGAUCCAAGUGCCUAACGUAUACUUAAUUUCAUUUUUGUUAAAAAAAGAGAUAAGUUUAUCUAUUUUCUCAAAAAAGAUAUACGUCUAUGUUGUCUGUUGUCUUCUUUUCUUCCUUGUCAUACCCUUGUCACGCAGCAUCGGUGAGGACGCGAGGUUGUCGGUCUUAUUGAAAUGCUUAUUUAAUUUUUUUUGUUGUACGUCUAAAGUGUUUUAUGAAUUAAACAAACAUUGAAGUGAUAAAGGCCCAUUACGUCCUUUAUGACUAGGCUUAUCUUUAUUUUUAAUCUAUAAAUUUCUCUAGCACCGUCAAAAAAACAUUUCUUACCAAAAAUUCAAAUCCCACCCGAUUACGAUUCCUGGAUCCGCCCCUGGGAUGAGAGUAAAAAUUCAAGAGUUCAAAUGCGGUUAUGUCAGUUUGUUAUCAUUGUGCUCAUCAGUCAUCAUGAUAAAUAGAUGCUUGACACGCCAUACAUAUGCUGCGCGCUAUCAUUGUGUUCAUCAUGAUAAAUAGAUGCUUGAGACACCAGAUGCCGAAUAAUGCUAAUUAAGGAGUUUUGGUUUUCUAAUGAGAAUGCUAAUUAAGGAGUUGUAAUGGCCUGUUGGUAGAGAAAUUGACAUCGGGCCAUUGCCAUCUGGUGAUUCCAGUGCUCCAAGAGUGGAUGGAUGGCAAUGAGACCUUCCACCAAAACAAAGCCUUGAUCAAAUGCACAACACGAAUUUGCCAACUUUGUUCUUUACAACUGAAAGGAAAAACCCUCCAGACUACUUUGAUUCCAAGUUAGCUGUAGACAUAUAAAAUUUAACGAUAAUAAUAAUUGUUGAAUUAUUCAAACGAUGCGUGAGCCCAACAAAUUACAUACGUGGCUCGUGAGUUGGCAAAAUUGAAAAGUCGUUGGAAAUGACAAGUGGCGACAGGCGACGUGUAAAUGGUCGGCCGACAACAAAACCUUACAUCUCGACUAAAAUCAAUUAUUAAAUGUCGAUCGAUAAUCAGAUAUCAAUUAAAUUAAAUUGAUUAUCGAAAACGGAAGUCGGACAUUUAAGCCAAAUCGGUUAUACCUUAUCGGUCAUAAUUAAAUCAAUCACUUAAGACUGAUUGAUUUAAUUAUGUUAAAAUUAAUAAUUAAAUCAACCAAUCAAAACUGAUUGAUUUAGUUAUUACCGUUAAGGAAAUACAAUUAAUUCGGUGUCUUCAUUACAUGCCAUAAACGGAGGUAUGUUGACACUAUAAAUAUCCCCUCUCAUAUCAAGGGGAUGACUUCCGACAAGAGAGAAAAAUUACUCCUGAGAGCUCAGAAGUCUCCCAAAACCCUUGAAGAAUCAUCAAGCUGUCAAAUAACUGAUUCUUCAUCAACCUCAAGCCGAGAAGUUGUCAAUUACCGAAGAGUCACUAAGUUGCCAAAUAGCCGACAUCUUGACCAACUACAAGAGGAAGAGCAACCACCACAUGGAAAAGUUCAUGGCCCAAACCCGAUCAACGUCAAGCCUCUACGGCCCUUGAUCAACCCUCGUCUUCAAGCCUUUCAACAAAUCAAAACUUCUACCAAGUUCUUCAACAAGCUUGUGGAGAAUCAACAAGCACCAAACACAGGUGACGAUUCAUCUGCUAUCAAGCUAAAGAACAUUCACCACGUGACACCUCUCGUGGCCCAAAUUCGACCAAGAUCAAGCCUAGCCUCUACGGCCCUUGGUCUACUUCCUUCUACAAAUCGUCAACACGAUAAGAAGUUCAAACUACAACAGUUCAAUUUAAAAUCAAGUGCUCGCCACCCUUGGAUUAAAUCAGCGUCGGAGAUCGAAUAAGAGGGCAUUCUUAAUAAAAGAAUACCCACAGAGAUUGUAACCCGCAAAUUCAAUCAAUACAAAUAUAUUAUUUUGCACACAUGUCUUUCUGUUAUUCGUUACAGGAAUUUUCGUGUUUACACUAGCUACAUAGAAUUUAAAGAUGCUUCACCCCACAAAAAUCCAAUAGGAAAAUAGACGCCUACAACAGCAGUAAAGCUAAGCAAAGCUUAGGAUCCAUUAAAGAGACUGUAAGAUGGAAUUAACGUACUGUAACAGAAGUGCAGCCCAUAAUGAAGCAGAUGUUUUGUCACUGCAUAUAGCCCACUAGUUUAUUUGGACUCCAAGUUCAUAGUUUCAUUCCUUUCUUUCCCUCUUGAGUCUCAUGCAUCCGUUUCAUCACUUCAUGUCAUCAAGAACAUGAACUGUGCCUUUAAUGGUAGAUGUUUUUGUGUCUUUGCCUCUUUGGGAAUGUAUCUAAACGAUGUGACAAAUUGGAUCUCUUAUUCCUUUUUACGGAAGAGAAUCGGAUACAGCCAACUAUCAAAAGGGGCAGUUCAAAGUUGAGCACAAUUUCUUUGGAUAGAAAAUGGAUUAGGUGAAUACUACAUGAAAAUAAGAUGCUCUUAUUCAUUAACCAACAGAUAGCAGUAUCUUGAUCGACACUGCGAUCACGGCCGAAACAACACACUCACUCGAUAACACAGCUACAAUUACAAGUUACAAGAAUUAUUACUCAUCUAGCUACAUUCUACAGACCAAGAGUAAAUGGAAAACCAGUAGCACUCAACCAACUUCCACCAGCAAUAAAAUUCCCUGGUGUGAAAGCCUGAGCUUCUGUGGCGCUUGUGAUCACCUUGUACCCCUUCCACGUCACCCUGUUUGAAGUCGAAGCUCCAGCUCCAGUGUUAGCAUACUCAGCAUAGAACAAUGUGUCUAGGGCAAAAGUCCCACUCCACUCGUACCACCCAGCAGGGUCGAUGAUAUCAGUAAUGGAAGAUUGCAUAAUCACAGUCCUAGAGUACUCCUUCCACGGCCUUCCCAGGUAUGUCUUAAAGCUACCCUUCACGGCUUGAAGGUCAGAAGUGGCACCAAUCCUUGAUUUUUGGAUCACAAUGCCGGUGUUCUGGUUGGGGUCGGUUCUCCCUUGGGCUGUGAGCAUGUUCUUCUGGCCAGAGUUGGGCUUUCGGGCAUGGAUAUCACAAUUUUGUAACACAACUGCAGCAUUGCCAAAGAUGAAAUCGACUGUGCCCGCAAUGAAGCAGCCCUCGAAGAACUGACGGUUGGAGUGGACGUAGAGGGAGUCUUGGUACGCAAGAAUGUCACAGCGGUAGAAGGCCGAAAGAUCGGAACCGACACGGAGAGCAACUGCUUGGUGCUUUGAGGGACCUGCAGUGUUCUGGAAGGUGAUGUCUCGGGCUAAGAAUCCCGCACCAACCGCCGCUGCAACCACACAGAUUUAUACGUUAGGGCAUGACAAGUAUAUUUACAUAGUAUAAAGAAGUUCUUAUACGAAUAUAGGUACAUAUACCAGAUAUAAUACACUAUUUCAAAGUAGAUAAAGAUAUUAUGUGUCCCGUUUAAUUUGGGAGCUAGCUAGCUACUCUGCUAGUGUAUUGUGUUUAUUGUUUAGUUAAUAAGGUGAGCCAUAGUAGUUUGGUAUGCUUGGUUUUGUGUGCGUGAAGACUGUGAACUGAAAUGGGUGAGACAUGAGUGCAAAUGCGAUUUUCAAAUGAGAAGAAGAUGGCAAAUAAUUAUUCUGGUUAAAUGGGGACAACAAUCAUCAAUAUAAUCCAUUAUGACUCAGCUAGAAAGAAGCUGGCUAGGACCAAACUCCAUGAAAGAAUCUAACCAACAGGGAACAAAAGAAGUAAAGUCUAUAGAAUAAAGACAGAGGAUAGGAAAGAUAUAAUAAAAUCCAUACACAUGCACAUUAUUCAGAUCGGAUGUCAUCGAAAAACUAUGCACCUUUUAAAAAAAAAAACUAUGCACAUUAUUCAGAUAAUAUGAUUCUCGACCUCUCAAUACGUAUCUAUCACUUCAAAAAUUGUCUCUGUCAUUAUACAGAACAUACAGAACCAGAUGCACAAGGAAGCUGAGUUGAAAGGUUUACUUAGAAGUAAUACAAGACGGUGACACAUGGUGUAACAUGCCUUAAUGCUGGCUGCUAUUGCAAACCAAAAAGAGACAGAUUCUGAUCUCUAAGUCCAACAUAAUUUCGAAAAAAAAGAACUGGAGUGUCGGUGGUUACUAAGAUCUCAAUUAGGGUUUCAAACGUCCCAUGAUUCAAGCAACAACAAACGGGGAAGAAAGUUGUAAAAGCCAAUGAAAAGGAAAGUGGAAGAUGAUCGACGAAGCAUCCUACUGGGAUAUAUGAGCAGACUAAUACGAAUACAAAAAAAACAAAAGAACAGUAGAAAGACAACUUAUACCGUAAAGUCUUUAGGACCAAAAAACAAAGAGUUGAGUUGGUGGGUAUAAACAAAAGACAUUGCAAGCACAAAAAUUCAAAGAAAAAGGGCCAAAGGGAACGUCGAGCUGUAAACCACACAAGUACUCAUGCAGCUUAUAGAUUUAGACGCGAGGAGACAACUUCACAUUUCUAUAAUGACAUAUAUCUGAAUUUUGGAUGCCAAUUAAGAUAACGAAGAAGCACGAGAUAUCAUAACAAUGACAUUUACCCAGAAAAUUGAUAUGAAUCUGAAACUAAACAAGAGCUCCACACUAAUUCAAGUGUUCAGACACUGGAAUUAGGAGAACGCUGAAAAGCAAGAGAGAAUCAUGAAUACAAUCUAGCUAAUUGUAUGUAUGAUGAUGGUGAUUGUUCACCAAUAAACUAGCAAUCUUCAAGAUACGAAUAUCAGAAAGACAGACAAGUUUCUUUAAAAAAACGAUAGGCUUUUGUAAAAGCGCCAAUGCCAUGUGCUGGUUUUUGGUUUAUUGAAAUCAAAGCCAUGGACGACGAAAGUUUCAACACUUGGGAGAUGUUUAUAAAUUUCUGGCAGCCUGGGAUUGAUAUUUUGGAGGUCCUGCUUUGUCUAGUCAACUUAGGUGGACCAAUGUAGUUCUUAUAUAUUCUAGAUGAUGUCUAAAAAAUCGAAGUUUUCAAUGGUCCUAAAACACAGAGGAGAGGGUGAAUGGGACGACACGACAAAAACAGAGUCUCGCAGACGUUACCUUAUUUUCAUUUUUCAAGGAACAUGUUGAUUUCACACUAAAACUUAGAAGAAAAGUUAAAAACCUAAAUUAAAAUUCACUAUAAUAGAAGAAAUUUUAAUGCGGUGAACGUAUAAUGCAUAUAACGGAUGCUAACUUGGAAUAUAAACAAAAGGUAUGAUAUAUGUUUUUCAAUUUUGAGCGAAAAAUUGUUUAACUACACGAAUGACUGAAACCCUAAUCAAAGUUUUCUUUUUUCUUUUUAAAAUGGGAACCCUAAUCAAAGUUAUAAAGACGCAAUUUCAACAGAGAGCCAGUUUUUUUUUUUUUUUUGUCGAAGAAAAGAAAAAAGAAACAGUGUGCCAGGUUUUUAGUGAGAGACUGAGAGGCAAAGGUUUUUAGUGAGAGGCAAAAGGUGCACUAUUAUUUGUGCGUGGGAGUCACACAUGACAUAGCAAUGCCAUCAUAUAUGGAGGCGGGAGGCCUAUCCAAUACUGUCACCCCCAAGUUGGCUCACACUGCCCUCAGUAAAGGCAUGGAGAUAUCACGCUACCCUAAGUAAAGGCAUGGAGAUUUCAAUACAUGGAACCCACACGACAUGAACCUAGAAAGACAUCCAUCCGAUGAUUAUCCAAAUAUAUCUUUUUUAUCGGAUGAUUAUCCAAAUAUAGAUAUCGUCAAGAGGUUAAAAACAUAAACAAAACACAAGUGGUAAAUGAAAAUUAGCUAAAGAUAAUGUAAUGUUAUUGGAGUACUUACCCACUGUGGCGGAAUUGAAGGUUGUGUCACCAUCGACCACAUUUCUACUUCCGGUAAUAAUUGUGGUAGUCCUCCCAUCGCCCAAAAACAUUAUGUUCGUCUUGGCCUUUGGCACAUCCACAUUUUCUCUAUACACACCGGCCUUGAUUCUGAUCACGUAUCUGCUGGUACUCUUUGACGGUGCGGCCGCGACCGCCUCCGAUACUGUCUUGUAAUUUCCGCUUCCGUCGGCAGCCACGAUCACAUUCGGUGUGACAGUAGAGGAUUGCAAGAGAUGUCUAUCUGCGGCGGAGAGCCACUCCGGCCAUCCCUCUGAACGUUCCUCCUUUAGCUUCCGGUUAGUCGUGGAGGACAUUGCUUUCAUCUCGUUUGCAAUGUCGUUAUCAGUCAUGUUUUUAAUCAUGGCCAGCGCAUUGCUGCACAACUUUUCUACAUAUUUCUGUACAGAAAAAAAUACAGUAAUGUCAAUUAAAUUACGUCGGUGCAAAUUAUAGAAACAAGUAUAUCACUAUGUAGAAAUUAAAGUAGGAACAAACAAAAUAGUGUAUGACGUAUAUGUUUUCCCAUUUGCUUGUUAGUCUCACUUGCUCUAGAUAAAACUAAUGUUCAUGGGGGAAAGUGAAAACUAGCUUGACUAAAUAUAUAUGUAACCGUAGCGAUCGAGAUUUCGGACAGAAACGUUACCUGACCCUUCUCCAACGAUUUCCGAACUAUUUUAUCAGCCUCGGCGUGAGAAAAUCCGUCAAGACAAGUCUCCUGGUUGGUAAUGGCGGAGCUUAUCAACGUCUUGAGAUCGUCGGCAUGAGCAGUCAGAGUCUUGUUGAUGCUCGGGUACUGAAACAGAUCCUUCACCGCCUCAUGGAGCUCAUCGAGAGUCUCAUCAAUUGUCUCCAGGCAGUCGUGCAAGGCGCACCUCUCGCGCUUGGUGAGGCUCUUCACGAGCUUCUUGAUCAGCUUCUUGAUGGUGAAGAAGUUGUGCUCCACCGCCGUGAUGGUGAUGUUAAGGGAAAGCCCGAUCACGUCUUUGAAGCUGGUGACGUUGGUGGUGGCGGCAGNGGUGGCGAGGGUGGAGAAGCAGAGCUCGGGGUANGGGUGGAGCUGCAUGAUUUUCACGAUAGCGUGAGCGGCGGAGAGGGUCUCAUUGUCGGAGUUGGAGUUUUUGUUUUGAACUCCGGUGGCAAUGCCGAUAACGGCAGCGACUAGAAGAACCGUGGCUAUAAAGGCCAAGAAGAGCUUCUUGUGGCUUUUGGAUUGGGACACUCUGGCCAUGAACUCUUUAAUUGUGGCCAUUUUUGGGUGAGGGAGUUGGGAAUGGAGGGUUGAGUUGUAUAUAAAGAGUGGAGUGAAGAGUGUAGCUCUUGGCUCUGGUUAUGGAAUGUGCCCCUCAGUCAUUGUCAGUCUGUCAACUAUUUUUCUUUCUUUUUUGCAUUUCCUUAGCUUCUUUGUUUAUUUUUGAAUUUUGCAAUUGCAUGUUGCUUGAAGUGAUUAUUGCCUACUUGAAUUGUAUUGCCAUGUGGGGGUGUCUCUUCAUGUAUUGUUCGGCUAUUUCAUAUUUUGGACUACACUACAAUUACAACGGCAUUGUCUCGCACGUAUGAACAACUAGACUCAACAAUAAGUUCUUUUAGUGAAUUCACAGGGAUGAUAAAUAAUUCGUCUGUUUUGGUUCAUCAGAAUGAUCAGAUCAACUCAAUAGAUUAUAUAUUGAAGUUUACAAUUUUAAGGGGUAAAAUGAACAGAAUUUUUACUCGUGCAAUUGUAGCUUGUUGAGAUUCUUCGUUCAGAUGUUAUGUUUAAUUUAAACACGUUAACAAAUAACCUUAAUUUAAGAAAAAAUGUGAUCAUACCACUAGCAUUGUAUAAUGACUUAGUAUUUGUUAGAAAAAUGGUGAAUAUAUAGAUGGGAAAAAAAUGUGAUCUAGUUCACUAGCCGUGAGUGUAAGUGAUGUGUUUUCAACUUUUCAUCAAUCAACUGGUCAUUUCGAGUGUGCCCAAUGCAGGUGGCAAUUAGCAUGUUAUACCUAGGGUAGAAUAUUUUCACGUACUCCCAACUUUGUCCUUGAUUUGUUGCAAUGUUUUGUCUUGUUUAUCAGUAGUAAGCCUUAUCCGUCUUCCAUGCUACAUAUUAUUAUUGUUAAUCCUAGCUUAGUGUGAAUAAGUAUCAUUCUAAGUAAAGACUUAAACGAUGGGAGAGAAGAAGCACGAGUCAUCGAAAUAUUACAUUACUGAGUUAAGUAAUGACAACUUGAAUCCUCAGAACGAUUAUCUUUUUGUAUAAGACCGUUACCUAAUUCGAUUAUUCUUUGUAUAUCAGAGCGCAUCCAAAAUCUGCAUUAUUUUCUAUUCAAGUUAUCUGUAACAAAUGAGCAUCAUUUCUUGGCCUCGAUCGUUAUAAUCCCCAGCUUCAAACAUUUCCUCUCACAGUUCCAUGCGAUGUUCUUCGUAGCAAAGAGAGUAAACACUUAUAUUUCUCCUAGAUUUCUAGGUAUUGGUCAUUAAAUCUGCAAAUAAAGAAUCGAUUUCUUGAUGUGGGUAUUCAGCUAGAUCUAGCUAACUGUCUUGAUUUAGGUCUGUUGUUCAUCUUGAAUUGUUCGUGCUACUUCUGACCAGUGGCCCUAAACUCGUGUCCACAAUACAGUUUUCUGACUUUUCUCGUUUAAGAUCGAUCGAUGUGUAUUAUGCAGCCAAGAAACUGAAGAAAGUUCCCUUUGUUACCCCAGAUCGAUAUGACCCUGCAGUUACAAAUCAAAUUAAUAAAAACAAAUUACAGACUGAAGUUAAUUGUCAAAUAAUAUUGUAUCAAAAUGCAUGGGAUCGAUAUAAUAAGUAUAUAUAGAGCAAUGAAAAUGCAGGUAAAUAAUCAAAUUCCAAAAACACAGAGAGAUUCCUUCAGAUAAAGUGGAUAUCUAUAUAUAAACAAACCUGCCCUAGAUACACUCUACCAGUCCCAACAGAUUCAGAUCCAUUAAAAUCUUAUUACUGAACAAAUACUAAUUGGAGCUUCAUAACUUGAUCUUCGACAAAGGUCAAUUAUAUCAUCUGCCAGCCAGCAUAUCAGCAUGCAUCUAGCUAUUGGUUAUAAUUACAUCAGACUUGGUACGUACAGUCCUUUGAGCAUGCUCUCUUCAAAGUUGAAUGACUAUCCCACCAUGCAAUCAAUCAUUUUUGNNNNNNNNNNNNNNNNNNNNCUCAACUUUGUAUAAUAUACGUACGAUUCUCAAAUUACACUUAAAAAAUAUCAUUCUAAUUAACACUCAUAUGUUUAUCUCGCAUGAUGUUAUUACCUAAAAUGACACAAUUAAUAGUCGUAUCACUCGUAUGUACAUCUUAUUUCUCUGACCUGUCCAUAAUUAGUUAGCUUAUGUUGGUCUGGACUACAUCGAUCUAACAUUUCUAGCUAUUAUUAUUACUAUUCUUUUCUCUUUUGUUUUGUCAAGCAUAUAUUCUGUCAUGAUUUGCCUUGACUUUUUUCCUAUAUCGAGUUGGCUUUUGAUACCAAACAACGUUUAACUAUAAUUAAAAGCGCAAGGUGCUAAAGAAAAUAUAGGGGCGAAGGAAAGGAAGCCGAUCGAUGAUCAACCAAGACCAAGACAGGUAAGAAACAUUAAUAAAUGACCAUCCAAUUAAAAAAGAGAGAGAAUAGGAAAAAAGAGAGAGAGAGUUGAUUGACGGUCAUAGAUGACCACUAAGGUUGGCAAAUUUGGUUCCUAUUUUUAUAUAAAAUUAAAUUUUUCAUAAAGCUCUUUAUCCAUUAGGCUUUUGAAUACCUUUAUAUAGUUUAACCAAUUAAUGUUCACAAAGUUUAAUUACUAGUUUACCACAUUGUUCCAAAACCACCUACAAACUACAAUGAAAGGUCGCUUGGUUUAUAGCUAGAGCUCCAAUUGAACUGCAACUGCCCCGCCACUUAAGCUCUAAAAAAAGAAUGCCAUCGUAAGGAAAGGAAACAUAAUCUAUUAUUGUUCAUUCAUUUACAAAGUGUCAACUACAUAUAUAAUGUAUAGCUAAUUAAACCUUCAGUCCGAACAUCAUCAAUAUCAAAAUCAUGAUACUUUUAUUCUCUGUUAUGCAUGAUAGCUUAAUUAACACCAUGAUAUCGAGCCUUGAUCUAUUAAUGUAGUUGAGCAAUUUAGUGUCGGCAGGGCGAUGACUAUAUUAGAUCACAAGAAUAAUCCAACGAGUCCCUCAUGCUGACUUUUCUUUUUUGCACGACCCACAUAUAUACGUAAAGAAAAGCUUCCAUUAAUAUAUGCAUGCAAUUCAAUUUUCAUUGUUUUGUCACUUUAUCCUAGCUAGUAUCCUAUCCUCAUAAAAAUAGACAUGAAGAAAGAUUUUUUUUUUUUUUUUUUUGAAAGGACAAUAUAUCCACAAAAGUAAGAAGACAUGUUCUCUUGAGGGACAUAUUCUAAUAGUCUGUGAGCGACAAAUGAAUUUGACGAUCGAAACCAAAAACAGGCUCAAAUUGUUAAUUAUAUAUAAUUCAUGCAGUUCAAUAUAACACUUAUGGUUGAGAUAUGUUUAUCUUACAAUCCUUUAAAUUGUUCAUUAGGUGAGCAAGAUAUGUACAAUGGUUGAAUAUAUCAUUAAUUAACUUCUUUACUUUUUCUUUCUUUCAAAUUUUUUUUUUUAUGCUAAUGUUUUGAACUCAAAAUAAGCGCUUCAUAUACAAUUUGAUCAUUUUUGGAAUAUAAAUAAAUAUAAUGUAGACUGAAACUUGAGUACUUUAAAUUCAUAGUAGUUAGUUUUAUACUUAUUCAAUAUAUCACUAAUACAUGUUGAAGGACACGUUUACUUAAUUGGAAUAUGAGGAAUGCGUAAGGGUUGGGGUAAAAAUACGCGUUUACUUAUACAUAAAAGAAUUGUAAUGAUUUUAAAUAAAAGUACUUACUCUUGUGUUUACAAACACAUGAACGAAUAUGAAUAAGUACUGUAGGUCGCAUUUCAUUAUAUGAUUUCAAUUCUUGAAUAAUCCUUAACUUGAUAAUCAAAGGGAGACAAUGUGAUUAGGAAUCAUUCCCUGAUUCUUUCAUACUCCAUUCUAGUUGUCUCCGAUUCAAAAGUGCUUAUUUUGAGGGAAAAUACGUAGUCUAGGGAAAAAGACCAUUUGCACAAAAUAGAAAAAGUCAAACCCCAUUUCAAUGAUAAUCUUUUUUAUUAGCCCAUUUGAAUACAAGGUACUUAUUUUAAGCCCAAAUACACAAAUCUUUAUUAAAAUAUAAUAAAAUGAUAUUUUAAAAGACUUUUUUACCCUUAACCUUUAUUUAAAGAGAAAAAAAGAAAAAGAAGAAGGGAAGACUUUCCUGGAAGCACACCGGACACCAGCGCCGAUCGCCGGUCACCGGAUUCCGGUCGCCGAACACCGGUUGCCGGAUUCCCGUCACUGGACACUGGCCGCCGGAUUCCGAUCACCGGUCGCCGAAAAAUUGAUGGUGAUCGGAAAAUCGCCGGAGUCGCACUGGAUUUUUUUGAAAAAAAUGUCACCAUAACCCACCGGAUCUUGCCGGAAGCAUACCGGCAAAAAAUGAAGUUUACUACCCCUAGUAAACUUUUACUAGGGGUAGUAAACUUGCAAAACAGUAGCUCCAAUGCCAUAAUUCACAUUGAAAAAAAGAAAAAUCAACUUAGAUGCGAAAAAAUAAAGUUUACUACCCCUAGUAAACUUUUACUGGGGGCAGUAAACUUGCAAAACAGCAGCUCCAAUGCCAUAAUUCACAUUGAAAAAGAGAAAAAUCAACUUAGAUGCGAAAAAAUGAAGUUUACUACCCNNNNNNNNNNNNNNNNNNNNNNNNNNNNNNNNNNNNNNNNNNNNNNNNNNNNNNNNNNNNNNNNNNNNNNNNNNNNNNNNNNNNNNNNNNNNNNNNNNNNNNNNNNNNNNNNNNNNNNNNNNNNNNNNNNNNNNNNNNNNNNNNNNNNNNNNNNNNNNNNNNNNNNNNNNNNNNNNNNNNNNNNNNNNNNNNNNNNNNNNNNNNNNNNNNNNNNNNNNNNNNAACUUACAAAACAGUAGCGCCAAUGCCAUAAUUCAUAUUCAAACGGAGAAAAAUCAACUUAGAUGUGUAGUAAACUUUUACUGGGGGUAGUAACCUUGCAAAACAGUAGCUCCAAUGCCAUUAUACAUACUAAAACAGAGGAAGAACAAUUUAAAUUCGAAAAACUAAAGUUUACUACCUCCAUUAAACUUUUACUGGGGGUAGUAAACUUACAAAACAAUAUUUUCAAGGCCAUAAUACAAACUAAAACAGAGGAAGAACAACUUAGAUGCAAAAAAUAAAGUUUACUACCUCCAUUAAACUUUUACUGGGGGUAGUAAACUUGCAAUCUAUUAUCUCCAGAGAAAAAUCAACACACAAGCAAAUAAUAGAAAAUUACUACCCCUAGUAAUUUUUAUAUUUUGAAAAUUACUACCCCUAGAAAAUUACUACCCCUAGAAAAUCAACACAUAAGGUUCAAAUCCGUCGUAGCAGAUCGGCUCGGCCUUGUUCGCCAGCAACUUCUUGAGCUCCUCAUCUUGGACACACUCCUCAAGAUAUCGUACUUCUCAACCAAGCUCAGCCUUCAUCGUAAACAUAGUUUCGAAGUCAGUUCAAAUUAGUAAGAGCAAAUGCAGAAGAGGAAGAGAGAGAGAAAGCGGCGGAGACUUACGGGACGGAUGGAGUAGCGGAUGAGCUAGAGGGCUGAGAUUCGGCGACGACCGACGGCGGUUUGACCUCGUCGGAGAUCGACAUGGAUUUGACUUCGUCGGCGGCGAGUUGCUCUGGUGCUUCGGUUGCGGGGAUUAGGCAGAGGAGAGGAUAAGCUCGUCGGAGAUGGUGGAGGCGAGGAUGAGGUCGCCGGCGACGGAUCUGUGAGUGAGAGUUAGAGAGAGUGAGAGGUUUGCAGAUCCUUCGUUAGAGAGUCAUCGAUGUCAAGGCAUUGGUCGGUGUCGGUGAGGCUUUGAUCGGCAUUGGCUUGCUUCGGCGAGGCAUGGCUGGCUUCAGAUCUCGUGGAGGAUGUGAGAGAGAGAGAGAGAGAGAGAGAGAGAGAGAGAGAGAGAGAGAGAGAGAGAGAGAGAGAGAGAGAGAGAGAGAGAGAGAGAGAGAGAGAGAGAGUAGAGAGUAGAGAGUAGAGAGAGAGAGUAGNNNNNNNNNNNNNNNNNNNNGAGAGAGAGAGAGAGAGAGGCCCGGUCGUCGAGGAAGAUGGUGACGGUGUAGUGCCGAUGCUCCUUGCUCGAGGGCGUCGGUGGCGACGCUGUCUUCCACCAUGGAAGUUCGUCGAGGUGAGAGAGAGGAAGAGAGAGGAGAGAUGAGAGAUGAGAGAUGAGUGAGAAGUGAUCAGGAAAGAAGAUAAGAAAGGAGUGGUGGGAAUAGAACGGUGGGUAUAAAUGUCUUUUCCUUAUGAAUAAUUGAGAUGGGCAUUGGGAAAAGAUUAUCAUUGAUGUGGGCAAUAAAUCUUUAAAAUUAGUAUAUUAAGGCAUUUACUCUUCAUUGAUUGAUAUACUUCAUUAAGUUUAGCGCAUAUGUACGAUUAAUGUUCUUAAUACAACAUAAGAAAAAAAAGGUUACAAAAAGGGGUAAAUUUGGAGACAUGAAACCACAUCAACAUGUUUAGAUGAAAUUUUUACUAACCUGUGUUUGACACAAGUUUGUCGAUUCCUACACUAUUCUUAAGCAACAAGAACUAUCCAUACAGAUUGCAACGAAGCGAGUAUGAGGAGAUAUUAAACAACAAUACUUCUUCACGUAACAAUAUGUCAAUCUGAUGCAACAGUUAUCUCCUAUGUAUGCUGCAGUUGAUAAAAACAAGAGCUUCCCAGCAAAAAUAUAAGACCGAUGAGAGGAAGAGGAAGAUCAUAGCUACCAGCCAACCAAGACCAUUUCAAUCUUUGAAAGAAAAACACUAGGUAAGAUACAUUCAUUCAUUUUGUUCACAAUCCAAUUACUAUUUGAAAUCAGUACUAGUGCAGAGUGACAGAAGGAGGACCAUUUCCCAGUUGUGACAAUUCAAGUUUUUAAAAUUAAACAUGUGUGUAGCUAGUUAGGACUGCUUCAAUGCCCCAGUACCCAUAUUAAUCAAUGGGGACGGUCGUCUAUGAUCGAUACAUAUACUAGAUUGAUACAUAUGUAGAUUAGGUUGUAGUGUUUUGAGUAAUGCUAACAAAAUUGAACUCCCACCAAAGUGGAACUGGAAGUAGAUCAAUACACUGUUGAUUUUUCUUGAGGCAGUAUAUGUGGUAUCUUUCUAUGUGAUUGUAGGAUUAGAAAGUAUGUAGCUAUACCGGUAAGUUUUGCAAUAGAAAGUAGAUACUAAUUAAAGAGUGACACUUCGUUGUAUAUGUUAAUAUGUUAUUACUAGACAUACAUGCCUCCAUGAUUCUAUAUACAUAAACUUGUAAAUCAUUCUACUGAUUUUUCAGGAAAAUGACGAGCUACUCAAAAAGAAAUUACAAAAUAGAUAGCCAAGUGAUACUGGAAAUUGACUUGUUAUAAGACCAAAGAUGGAAUGAUGGUGAAGAAGAAUCACUCCUUAAAGUUCUAAAGAUGUCUACUAAUGUUUAAAAUAGGAAUAAAUUGUGAUUUUAGGUUGACUGAAAAAAUAUGAAGGGUGAAAGUGCUCUAAACUUCUGUCUUCUGAAAAACAUGCUGGGUAGUUUUGAGUUAUGGUAUGAAAAAUUGAUUCAUGAAAAAAGCAGAACAUAUCAGAUAUGGAACAGAUCACCUUGAGUAGUAAUGAUGGAAGAGAAAAAUGGAGCAGAAGAGACUAAAACACAAACAUUGAGCUAUGGAACAGAUUUUCUCAUUUACUCGUGCUUCCUUUUCUUCUGGCCUCGGCCAAUGGUGUAUGAUUGUGAUCUAACAAGCUCCCUAGGUAUAGCUGCACCAGAAGAUCUUAACAUUUCAACCAAUUCUGGAAACAAUUUCUUAUUUUCCUGACAUACAAACACAAUUGCUGUACCCUCUUCUCCCAAUCUAGAUGCCCGACCAAUCUGGUGGACAUACUCAUUAAUGGAAUUGGGCAUGUCAAAAACAAUAACCUGUCUUACACUCAAGAGAUCUAGCCCGCGGCCUAAAACACCGGUGGCAACAAUAACAGGAACAUCACCCACUAAAAAUGACUUCAUGACAUCUCUCCUCUCCUUCAUGGAUUUCUCCCCAUGGAUUGAUAAAGCUUUCACACCAGUGGUGACUCUAAUUGCAUUUGAUAAGAGAUCUGCUCCAAGUCUUGAUGCUACAUAAACCACAGCUGGUGGCAUAAAAUGCUGCUUACUCAUCAAUAUAUCGAAAAGCUUUUGCUUCUUUUGCUUCGACUCAACCCAUAUAGGCACCUGCUUCACAGCCUUAUUUGGUCUGUUAGGCUUGCCAACAGAGAUUACAGUAACAUCUUUUGACAUAGAACUCACCAUCUUCUCUAUAUCUUGGGAGGUUGUUGCAGAAUACAGUAAAACCUGGGGUUGUGAUAGAGCCCUAAAUAUCUGCAUCACCUGAUCCCUGAACCCCCUUUGGAGCAUGCAAUCCACCUCAUCAAGAACAAAAAUCCUUACAUCCUCCAAUUCAAUAUCAUGGUUUGCUAAAAGAUCAAUUAGUCUUCCUGGAGUUCCCACUAUGAGCUCAACUCCUUGCUGAAUGCGGAAAAGUUGUCUGGGCAUUGCGUCGCCACCAACUACAAGUGCAGUUUUAAAAGGCAAACCCUUUCCGAGCAACUUAGCUUGUUCUUCAACUUGUAUACAGAGCUCUCUAGUUGGAGUUAGAACCAUAGCUAGCGGCUUUUUCUCACCCGUUAAGUGCUCAAACCGAAAAUGUGAGCAACAUGAAACAAUUGGAAUGAGAAAGGAAGCAGUUUUACCAGAGCCUGUGUCGGCAGAGACAAGCAAGUUUUUGCCACUCAAUGCAGCCGGUAUUGCUUGCAUCUGGACAGGUGUGGGCAUUUCAUAUCCUGCAGCCUCUAUAUUUUGGACAAGCUUUUGCGGAAGAUUACAUGAAGCAAACGACAAGAUAGGUCCUGGAGCUAUGUCUCCCUUCACAUGAAUAUCAAGUCUUUUUCUAAGCAAUUCAGUCUGACCAUCAGGCAAGACUGAAGUUCCGUAUUGGCCACCAGCAUCUCUAACGUAAAAGCACUCAUCAUUAGCAGGCAAUCGUUUAGGAGGACAUUGACUGACUGCCAAUUGAGAGUUGGUGACCCUGCUUAGUAAAGUCUGUUUACAUUCCAAACUGCAAAUAUCAUCGUCCGUCUGGUCACAUAUAUACUCACCAUAACGGCCGCAGAUCACGCACUUAGGCUCCCCUGGAAGCGGUUCUCUUUGGUCUCUGGAUCUUUCUUUAACUUCAUCUGCAGCACCAGAAAUUGAAUCAAAAAACUAAGUAGGCAGAAUGUGAUCUUCGCUCAUGAGAAGCAGCUAAAACAACUCCCAAUUGAAACUAAUACUAAAUGAAGAAACAACCUAUCAAGAAUUUAAAGGUUGGAUAACAAACAGCUGGAAACAAUAAUAGAGCAUUAACAAGACCUUAUGAUAGUGAUCCUAUCCUGCAACAAUGAUACUAAUUUUUCACAUACCAUUUACAUCAUCAGUUGAACUCUUACAUUGGCCAUCUUGGUUCUCGUGCUCCAUUCAAUUAGCUACUUGAUAAUCACAUGAACACUGCAACACCCAGAAUAGUGCAAUAGAAAAAGGAUUAGCAUAUUGGUAUUGAGUAGCACAGAACCAAAGGUAGGUUCACAAUCUUAGCUUGGUUAACCACAAGAAACUUGCAACAAAUCCAUAAACAACCCAAUAUAUACAACCAAAAACUUGCUUUGAGUACCAUAAUCAAAGACCAAAACUUUCUAGAAACAAAUGAAAUGGGUAAGUCUUACCUUCCUUGGUUCUGUUCUGCAAAACGAUGGACUCCCUUCUCCGCCUGCGGUGGUUGCCUGAGACCUUUUUUCUUUUGAUUCUAAACACUCCAAAACCAAACGCUUUUUUUUCCUUUUUAUUGUUUUUUCCUAAACGACAUGUCGUAGACGAAAACCCAUAUAUAGUUUGGACACGACACGUCGAUUAGCUUCAUCUCUUCAUUCUGGUUUAAACCCUUAAACCUCAAAACGUCGCCGUCGAGUGGCGCCAUUUACAGUUAGGUUUCCGAUUUUCAGAAAUUCAUAGCAGCCGACUACAGCGAACUCCAUCGAACAAAGUAAGCUUCACCCUUUUUUAACUUCUCUAUUUCAGCUUAGGGUUUCAAUUUCCAGACGCGAUGUGUUUCAAAGUUUGAAGCUUUUGGCUUAUUGCUGUGAUUGGGUUACUUGGUUUUUCUUUGAUAGCUGAAAUAAUAGUUUUCAUGUUUGGCUAAAUUGGUUAUUAAGGUAAUUUUAUAGUUGGGAAGCUUUUGGAAAUUGAGAAGUGGGAGGAGUGAUUAUGGUUGCUAUUGGGUCUGCAGCAUUGCCAUUGAGAAGGUUUGAAGCUUCAAUGGAGGACGAUAUGUCGUUUAAAAGUGGUAGGAAGAAAAUGGGCAAGAGUAGAAAGCCUGAGAAGCAAGGUCAAGGUCGGUCCUUUGAUGCUGGUGCUGGUAAAACUGUAUCAGGGCGGUGCUCGAAUGCGGCAACACAAACAGUUGUGAGGUACUACAUUGUAUGUGUUUUGGAGUGAUGGGUUUUGGGGAUGGUGGAGAGUUUGUCAAUUGGUGGAGUUUUAAUGGAUUUGAGGACUUUAUGCAGGAAACAGGUUGACCCCGAGACGGCAAAGUACUUUUCGGAGAUUGCUAAUCUUUUCGAGAGUGAGGGGAUUGAUAUUGAGGAGCGGUCGUCUUUAUGUAGUAAUGCGCUUGAGGAAACUAGGGGGAAGGAAAUGGAACUUGCCACGGACUAUAUCAUUAGUCACACUUUGCAGACUCUUGUCGAGGGAUGCGACGUCGACUGUCUUUGUGCUUUUCUCCGAGGCUGUGCAAAGAAUUUCCCAUUGAUUGCGAUGGAUAAGUCGGGAUCUCAUGUGGCUGAGUCUGCCAUCAAGGCUUUGUCUAGGCAUCUUCAGGAGAGCGACGCCUAUGCUGUUAUUGAGGACACUCUAAAUACAAUAUGCAAGGUAUCAGGUGUUUGUUUGGUUUUCUUAAUUACAAGACAAGUUUUGAGUUUCUGUAGGCUGUUAGUUUGUUUUCACUCUAACAGUCUAACGUAAUGUUCAGCAUCUAGUAGUAAAACCAUGAAAUGUUGCAUUCUGUGAAAUUUCACAGCCAACAUCUCUCUCUUGUCACUUUGAAAAUUUUGAAAUAUUUGAAAGAGAAAGGCAUCAAAUUAUAGUUUUCUGUAUCAGUGAUUUUUUUUUCUUUCCAAAAUUUUAAAAUAUAGCAUGUUUUUUGUCAGGUGAUUGUAAAGAAUCCUGUUGAUCUGAUGUGUGAUUGCUACGGAUCUCAUGUUUUGCGAAGUCUUCUCUCUCUUUUUAAAGGAGUGCCAUUUGAUUCUUCUGAUUUCCGAAUGAGGAAGUCAUCUUCUGCCUUACCAGAACGGUUUAAUUUCAAGGCACCUCGAUCAGAUGCAGAUGUUUCACAACAUCUUAUUCCGGGAUUCCCAGAUUUACUUAAGUUUCUUGUUUCCGGAAUGUUAAAAUGUGCUCAGAACAAUGUUAAAACCCUGCAAGUUGAUCAGUUCAGCAGUUUGGUUCUGCAGGCAUGGCUCAACACUUCACAUGCAAUUUUUUUUUUUCAUGAGUUUAUUUUCUUUUAGUUGUGGAUUGUUCACUGAUAAGUUGUUCAUAGAUAAUAUAUAAAAACUAGGUAAAAAUAGUAUAGCGUUGUUAACACUUUCGUUGAUAAUAUGAUAUCCAUAGCAUUUUAAUUGGUAACGUGUUGUAAACAACUUCAUAAGUCAGAUUCAUCUAUUAUCUCCAAUUGUCAUAUUUGAUUACCAUCGUUCUUAAAGCAUUCCACCUUAUUAUGUAAAUCAGACAAAUGCAAGACACCCUAGUCUGAUUGUGAGAAUCAAUUUUGCGCUCAAUGUUUCUUUCAGUUAAGUAUUUGUGGAAAUGAUUUUCUUUGAGUUUUGUGAGAUUGGUGACUUAUUAUGGUUUUUGGCAUUUCAAAACUUGAUCCAAUGCCUACAAUUUGUUUACAGUAUCACAUUCUUUUGGUUACUUUUUUCUUAAUAUUUUCCCUAUUUAAUUAUGUGGUCUGAAUCUUUUUUGAGGUGUGCUAAAACAUUCUGUUUGGCAGACUGCAUUGAAGAUGUUAGCAGGAGAUGAAGAAAUGCUGUUGCAAAUAAUUCCCAUUCUUACUGGAUGUACGAGGGAAGAUAUUGUAGAGGAAAACACCAUUGAACCAACUAUUGUGAGAGAUGUUUUAGGUUUGAUGAAAGAAACAGCAUUUAGCCAUUUAAUGGAGGUAAAAACUAUAUUCAUAAGGUUUGCUUAUGUAGCUAUAAACUAUACCAAACAAAGAACUUCAUGUUCAUCUAUUAAUUUUUACUAAAUACAGGCAUGCCUAAUUUGAUAUUAGAUUAGUCCCGUGCCAGGAAGGAAAUCAAUCUUGAUUAUGAAUUUCUGACGGAUUAAACCUAAUGCUAUUCCAAAAUUCUACUGUGACCAGAUGUAUAUGGUUGCGAUAUUUUUACAUUUUUUUCUUAUUCCUGAAAUUAAACUUCUUUUUGCACAUUAUCCAACACUUGCAGAUGUAUACGGUUUUACUAUAUUUUGUCAUUUUUCUGAAAUAAACCUAAUUCUUUGCUCUCAUCAUCCAACACAAAGGAUGAACUUCCUUGAGCUGUUGGUGAUUUUGGCUGAAGCUUUCUUUAGCUUGAACAAAAUGUGCAUAUGAUAUGAAAAAUUAAUUGAAUUGAUAGUUUGUAUUCCGGGGACCUUUUCUUCUUGAAGGAAGCUGUGGUUUGGUUUCAUUUGAUUUUAUAUUUUUAAAAUGCAGGUUGUUUUGGAAGUAGCUCCUGAUGUCUUGUACAAUGGAAUCUUCUUAAAGAUCUUCAGGAACUCGUUAUUUGACCUUUCAUCCCAUCAUUGUGGGAAUUUUGUCAUCCAAGCACUUAUUUCUCAUGCAAAGAAUCAUGAUCAAGUAUGUUAUGUCUCAACACUACUCUUGUUACUAUUAAGGUUUUUUUUUCUUGAAAAAAAAAAAAGCCUAUUAGUAGCAGUUAAAAUAACAUGUUCUGUUGGUUACUUGCAUUCAUUUUCCCACUACCAGCUUUCACAUACUUAUUUCACAAACGUACACACCUUUAAUUUAUAUUGCUUUUAUUGUUUAUAACACAUUUUGUCAAUUUGUCCAUUAGAUGGAGAUGAUCUGGGAGGAACUUGGUUCGAAUUUCAGGGAUCUGCUUAAAAUGGGAAGAUCUGGUGUUAUUGCUUCGCUUAUGGCUGCAAGUCAAAGGCUUCAUAGUUACGAACAGAAGGUUGAUUUUUUUUCAGAAGAAGAAGAUUAAUAAAUCAUUGAAUAGUUUUACUUUUCAUAAUUUCUUCAUUGUCACCUCAGCAUCUUUUUAGUUGAUAGGUAAGUAUUAUUUUUGCGGAUAAAUAAUAAUGGUUGGUACUUAUGUACAGGAGGUUUGUUGGAUUGUGUUGCAGAUCUUCAUUACAAUCAUAAUUGUGUUUCCAUUUCUUGUCUUACAGUGUUGUGAGGCUCUUGCUGCUGCAGUACAUUCAAGUAAUGAGUCUUCAACAUGCAUUGUUCCCCGAAUACUGUUUCUUGAUGGCUACUUCAACUGUGAAGAUAAGUCUAAUUGGAAUUGGCCAAGUGGUGUUAAAAUGAAUGUCAUGGGUUCUUUGAUACUGCAAGAAGUUUUUCGAUUUCAAAAUGUAUGUGACCUAUCUUAUAGUUUGAUUCUUAAACUAUAGUAUUAGAUGUUGUUGUGCAUAGUAGCUAUACCUUGACUUAUAAAUCUAUUAGCAUAUUGUGAUGCAUCUUUGAUUGUUCCUAUAAAGUUUUAUAUCGAAUCCCUCCAUUAAUUCCCUUCCGUUUUUAGUAUUGCCCUCUUUCAUCUUUGUAUGUUCUGUUUGGAUUCUGAUUUCAAGAUUUCAAGAUUUUAAACAUAAAGGCAGUUCUCAUUGCUUUUUCAUUUGAAUUUUCUUCAUUCAUAUUGUAGUUAAUAUGGAGGAAGUAAGUUGCGUAAUUAUGAUUCAAAUGUUUAUUGAACUGGAUGUUACAGUACUUUAGUAUUUGCUUAUACUGAUCUAUAAUAUAGUAUAUUUUAUUUUCCAGGAAUUUAUACAGCCUUUUGUAACAAGUAUUACAUCCAUCCCAACUGAUAAUGUCCUCGAAGCUGCUAAGGAUCCAGGAGGUGCUCGUGUUAUUGAAGCAUUUCUAAGUUCAAAUGCUUCUGCAAAAUUAAAACGCCGCUUAGUUAUGAGGUAUGCUGUUUAACUUAAUUGGUAGGUUGUACAUUUAGGUAGCUUUGACAGUAUGCAUCUGUCAGGAUGCCUUUGUGGUUCUUGGUACUUUACAGAUAAUUUGUUCAGAUUUUAUGCUGUAUACUUUUCAGGCUGCGUGGACAUUUUGGAGAGCUAGCAUUGCACUCAUCAGGUUCCUUCACUGUUGAAAAGUGUUUUACUACUGGUAACAUCUCACAGAGGGAAGCCAUAGUAUCUGAGUUGGUAGCUGUGCAGAGUGAGCUUUGGAAUACAAGGCAAGGUCCUCAUCUCAUGAGGAAACUAGAUGUUGAUGGGUAAGUAGUUCAUUCAAAUGACUGAGAUUUUGAUGUACUUCAACGUUAGUCAAGAUGCGUGUCAAUCCUUCUCUGUUAACAAUAGCCUGCCCAAUUCUAGAUUUUAUUGCCAUUUUACAAUUAAUUAUCUGGCUCAUAUUUCAGAAAAGGAGUAAAUACAGCACUCCCUUUUCUUUUCUUUUUUUGAGUUAAAUUUGGCAGUUUAUUUACUUGAUGCAUGUGUGAAUCACAGAUUUGCUGCUAGACCUGAGCAGUGGAGGUCCAGGCAAGAAUCAAAACAAUCAACUUUGAGAGACUUCUCUGCUACAUUUGGCUCUAGUGAGACCAAGGCAUCAAACAAUAUUGAGCCCGAGCAACCAAAGAAGAGUAGUUUUCUUUCUGAAGAUUAUAUGAAAAGAUCAAAAGUGGGAAAAGCAGUUGACCAUCACCAGGCAUCUCCUGCACCAUUUUUGAGUACAACAGGCUCCAAACGCAAGCCAAAGGAAAAAGAACAGAGCAACAAGAAGUUUGCUAGAGUCUCAGUAGACGAGGAUGUUUCUAAAGUGAAGAAUAAGUCGAAGAAGAAAAGGCAUGGUGAUGAUUCUUUUUCAAAAUCUUCCAAGAAGUUGAAAGCAUGAAGAUGUGGACGAUCUACUUCCGUCUCAUGUUUUGAAAUUUUUGUCUGUCCCGGUGAGGUAUAACUUAAUUAGAGACUGAGAAUACAUGGAAAAAGUUUCCCAAAAAAAAAAAGAAGCAAAAUAGAGAGAGAUGGGAAGUUUGGAUAUGAUCUGAGCAUCUCUUUUUUUGUUCUUGUUCGUGUUCUUAAAGUUGAUGUUGUAAAAUAAAGAUCUUCUAUAUAUACAUUCAAGCAUUACAUCGGAGAAAAUUUGAAAUUUACAUUCAAAACCAGAGCUUAAAACUUAACAAAAUUGUGAGUGCAUUACAGAUUGUGGUGUAAUGCCUUCUGGGAGGGUGAGAAGAAUGAAUGAGAAAUGAAAUUAGGUACUAUAGAGAUUCUGCUACUUCUUUCUGUACUUCUCUUUGAUCAGCGCCAUCUUAUGGAGGACCGUACCUGGGAAAAGAAAACAUGGCAAUUCAGGUCAAUUAUCGGAACCCUUCUAGUUGUGGAGAGCUAUGAAACAACAGGAAUGGUAGUUUACUUGUUCUGCGUGGGAUUUGAAGUACUAGGUGGGAUUCUUCGGAAGCUCGAGCUAGCCAGCUUAAAAGGUCUCUUACUGUUUGCCUGCAAAUCAUUGAGGGAUUCUGAAGAUGAUGAAGCUAGGUUUGCCGGGGCAGAUUUUAGCGGACGAGCUUGUGCUGUUGCUCCAUUCGGCCAGGUUGAUAGUACCAUAGAAAGUGCAAGAAUCAGUGCAGCAAGAACUGUAGACCAGGCCUUCAUAUCUGAUCUUUUCUGUAACUCUAUGGAUUCUGGUUUGUGAGUGAAGUGUGAUUGUGUUGAGAUAAGUUUGAAGCUUAUGAUUGGAGUGGUAGGGAAGAUAUUAUGCUGUAGUGGUUGAUAUAUACUUACAAGAGUCCUGUAACAAAAGAUAGUAAAGUCACAAUUGGGAUCUGAUAUCAGUGGGAUCAUGUGCUCAAACUUUGACUGUUACAUGCUGCAACUCUGACCUGCAGAUUUUGGUGAAAAUGAUGAUUUAUAUGUUUUUGCUGAGUAGGGGUCAUGUGAUUAGGCACGUGAUUUUAAUAUUAAUAGGAAUGGGGUUUUGGGAUGGAAGCUAAAAGGGUAAGUAUAAUAUUGGCAUGAGUGAUCAGGCAGUGGUACUGGGACUGGGGACAGUGUUGGAUCUUGCAGUGUAUGAUAAUGUGGAGUUGAUACAGGUGCUGUGGAUAUAACUAAACCAGUUGGCUGUAACAUAACCCUUGAACUGUCUCAGUCUGAAGCAUUUUUGAGCUAUGCAUGACUGACACUGUAGAAAGGUCAGUGAAAACCCAAGCAAAGCUGGCACUUUUUCUUGUACUCAUUUGAGAAGCUCUUGAUGAUCUCUUGGAUCUUGUGGUGCUGGCUGGCUGGUUGUCUUGUUUCUCUUGCUUCUACAAUUUUUUUCGGUUGCUAAUGACUUAUGAGAAUAUGCAAAGGUUUUAAACUGUUAAUUAACGCAGAAGCCCCCCUCCUCUCAAAAAACCCUAGCAAACUCCACCUUGUCCGGUGACAGCCUUGCCUUGGCAGCCGUUUGGGCUUCGCCGAUGCUUGGUUCGUUGUUAGACGGGAAUUCCUAUAUCCUUUUAGUCUCUGGCAGGAGUAUGGUUCAUUGACGAACGAAGGUUCCGGAUCUGUUGGUUUUGUGCAAGAUUGAGGGUGGUCAUUUGUUGUCUCUCCCUUUAGAUCUGUGGCGGCGGGGGUCCGAAGAUCGGGUCAAGCUAGCAAACUCUGGUUCAAUCGACGGUCGCGGGCUCGUGACACCUUGGCUAGGCUGGCCGGUUUUGGCGCGGUACGUUGGAGGGUUAGUGAUGGCUUGUGGAGGUUCUGCGCGGUUGUGGCUUGCCGGCUGAUAUCGGCGACGCUGGUGGUCGGAGACGACGGAGGUGAGUCACGAGGGUUACAGAUCAGGACUUUUGCCGUUUAUUGGGCUGGGCCUUUGCUGGAGGCUGCUUGGUUUCCAGAUGGGUUGGAGCUUGCCAUUUGGGCCUUAAUCCUUUCUAGCCCUUCGGGGAUUCUAGGGGUUUUCCACCCGUUCCAAUGUUCAAUAGGGGUUCGCGAGCCCUAAACAAGGACAAGGAGAUCUUGAUUUCCUUGAUCCUUAAUUUCCAAGGCAAGUGAUGGAAGACUAUUGCUUUUUAAUUCUCGAUUCUACUUAGUUGUAUACCAAUUAAGGUCCGCAGACGACUGAUAUUAUCGCUACAUGGGAGUUAGAUAAGAGUAUUUGGAAAUCUCUUGUAUUAGGUAUAAAAUGAGAGCAUUUUACAAUGAGGGUUCACUAUCAUUUUGUUAUUUCUUAUUACUAGUUAGACUUAUUGGUCGUGAGUAGGCAAAAUAAUGUAAGCGCCUUCUGGCCGCAGUAGACAAAUUAAUGGAAAUUGUCUAUUUUCUUUUUAAAAAAUUAAAAAAAAGAGUAUGCAUAUUUUCCAUCAAAGGUUUUUUUACUUGGCCAUUGUCAAUGAAAAAAACAAAAAUAAAACCUACUUUGCCAAUCAUAACUGUGGUAAGGAAAAAUAAAGAAGUAUGUGUUUUUGUACUGGUAGAGGGCACCUGCGAGUUAGAGUUGUCAUCCAGCAAGUAUCCAACUAUAGGGUUGGAAAAUUCUAAGGAUCAAUCAUUGGUACAUAUAUAGGUCCUUGGUGGCUUGGUGAAUAUGUCAAUUCUGAGUCACCUUCCUGCAUCUUUUCUUUCUAUGUCACAACUAGCUUUCUAAAAUGGAAAAGAUUGUUCAGGACUCGAGUCUGAAAUGUGAAAAUGCUGAGAAACCUGCUCAUGAAUUGGAACAUAAUGAUUACAUACGAUUACUUACCUUAUAUUGGAUUCCUAGACUGUAUACAGUCAGAUUAAUUAUCUAUCGUGUACAUGGUAUCUUCAACCAAAGGAACACAGAAUCACAACAGAGAGGAAAAGAGCUGGAGUCUAGAAAGGACGACUAAGCAAAGAGGAAGGAGGGUUAGGAACCCAGUCAGGAGGACUACAUUUCCUCCUAUAUAAUAAGCUAGAGCAAUAGCAUGAUCUGCCACUAAAUGAUUUUGGAGCAUGACUUUAGCACUUCCAUUGCAAAUUAAGUUGCAAGUGGAAGGCUUUUCCCAUGCCAUUAGGUAUAUAUUUGUAAGAUUUCCAUUCCAAAGUGGAAACAAUUAAAUCAUUGCAAACUAGAAAUUAGUAACUCUAACAUUACACUUUUUCAUCGAAAACACAGUAACUACACUUUUCAAAUACAUUUGAAUCAUUACGAAUAGGAAAUUAACAUAAAUUUUCGUUUCAAGGUGCAUGGAACUCAGCACUUGAUUGCAUAAGUAUAUUCCAAGACUCGUGUGUCCAGCAGCACGUACUCUUUGUUAUCGAGCUGUAUCGGACGUCAAGUUGAUCUCAAAUAGUCAAAUGUCAAUCCCUAAUGUCAUUUCCACCAUGCCAAUCCACCGGACAAUUCUUCAAACGAACCCAUCAUGUCGAUUACAAUUCUUCCAUACCAAUGCAUGCAAUCAAGCGAACCUACCAUAUAUGAGGCAACACCUAAGUGAAAGCACAAAUAUAUGAUGGCCCUAAUUGAACAAUUGUCAUUAGAUGUGGUUUCAACUUUCAAGCUUUUAGCUAGGAUUUAUUUUCAAAUUUAUUUGAUGACAUAUGUAAAGUUGGAUCAGUGUUGAAAUCGCAAUUCCUCAAGUUUUUAGGGUUCAUGCAAUUAAUAGGGCAUGUGUAUAAAUAAAACGAAAAACGGGUUUAGUAGCUCCGAUAUUAAUAGAUUCAUUUUGUCAUGGCAAAUGAUGCAGUGUUAAAUAACAUAGAAUUAUUAUUGUUUCUCGGUUUACAAACAGGAAAAAGAAAACAAUUUUAUUUCCACUGAACUGUUUUGACCUCUCAGUUUGUUUCGUGGAAAACAACCUCAGUGCUUCUUCUUUGUUUAUAGAUUAUAUAUAUGUUUCCUACUCUCAUUAUUCUCUUAGACAAUCAUGGUCUGAAUGACCUCCGCACUCCCCCCAACUCUAUUUAUACUCCAUUUUCUCUCCUCAUUCCUCCCCAAACCACCUAGCUUUCUCAUCAUCUAUAACUCAGGUUCAUCAACAAACAUAUAUAAAAACGGUUUCCUCCUCCUCCUCAUUUCUGAUCAUGUCCUUCUCAUCACUCAUCCUCUUUCUAUUCAUAAUGAUCAUCUCUCCCUGCAGCUUUGCCCAACAAUCUUUCGGGCCUCGCCAACUCCUCAGUACUCAUCCAGACUCGACCAUGCACGCUCCUCAUCUAAAUGUUGAACACCACCAGCAGGCUCUAGCUUCAGCUACCUAUGAUUUCUUAUCAGCUAUCCAACUUGUCUGUGGCAUCAUGUUGGUCCUUAUUCUCGUUCUCUCAGCCUUGCUCAAGUUGAUAUUAUUGCUCAAGGCCUCCCGCCACGGCGUCACUUCAGGCCCGCCGCUACCAAUCACCUAUCAGCAGUUCGUCAUGCAGCAAGCGCCCUUGGCUCCUCCCCAACCCCAUAAUGUCCUCACUCUCCUCAGUUUCACAGAACAAAUAUCCAUAGAUAUUGAUGAUGAUGUUGUUGAUCGUUGACGACGACGACCAUGAUGUUAGGAUUGAUCUCUAGCUAGUUAGCUUGCUUUAGACUACUGUAAUAUAUGUAAUAUGUAUGUAUGUAGCGGAUACAAAUUUACCGAAUACCUUUUGCUUGUCCACCCAUCAUCUAGAUUAAUGAGGUAUGUAUCUUCAAAUAAUUUGAGCUUUGUGCUUUUGGUGUGCUAUUUGAGAUCGUCUAGCUUACCGUAUACUUUUAUUACGGUGAGGAUAAAGAUAUAUUCUCAGGUUUUUGUUCAUUUUGUAGGCUCGUUUUUAGAAUAAUCGAGCGUACGUAAUUGGCUGCCAUGAGUGGUACUUGUCUGUGUUUUUUUUUUAGUUUGCUUAGUCUUUCAGAACUUGAUCCGAGCUUGGAAUUGAUGUAUGAGUCGUCCUAGCCUUACAGAGGCAAUAUAUAGUCACCUGCACAAUUCUGACUCUAAUUAGCUAGUUAUCAAUCUAUCAUAGUACGUGAUUGAUUGGAACCGGAUAUAUAUAGUGUCCUCUGUAUUCGACAUGUUGAACGCAACCAUAUGACACCAAGUCACCAAGUACUGUGCGUAUCCAUGCAUGCAUUAACCGUAGGAGGCUAGGACAUAUAUGAAAGUUUUGGUAAUUAAGAGAAACAAAACGGAUCAUAAUCCAUGCAACAUUAUGACUGUACUAGCCAACUUCCGAACCUAAACAUUUCUAAAUCUUUGAGAGCUAGCCGCUUGCUAAAUGAAGUCCAUGAUGAUAAUGCAACUUCGAUCUGGAGGGAAGAUGGGAAGUUCCACGAUCUCAAAGUAAAUCUCAAGAUCGAACAUAUAUAUAUAGUUGAUAUAUAGCUCCCCAACGGAUUUGAGUUGAUAGCAAUUAGCAUGAGGUGUUCCAACACAAAACUAGGUUAUCAACAGAAGACUACCUUAAUUUUGCUGGCGGUCAUAAAUGAUAUAUAAUAGUCUCGAGUCCAAUCAGGAGUCUGAACACGAGUCCUAGUAAAAUCUAUUUAACAAAAAAUGAGUAGAGCAAAUCUUUGCACCAGAUAUAUAUAUAUAUAUAUAUAUAUAUAUAUAUAUAUAUAUAUAUAUCCAAGUCUUCGAUCUAUCUUUACAUAUAUCCAAGAUAUGAUCUUCUACUAUCAUUUCCGUAACGAACAUCAGUAUCUCUGAUCUAUUCUCCUCGCCUAGUUGUGUUAGAGCAUACCGGCAUAUAUAGCAUCUAUUAUCAUUGUGUUUUUGCUUUGUGACUCAUACAAUAAGGUAGGGACGAGUUAAAGUAUAUAUUUCUCAGAGAAGCAACAUAUAUUUCUUGUAUUAUUUGAUCGGCCGCUUCCGUGAACCUACUUUAAUAUCAAGUUAAUUACCGAUCAACUUCAAAUGUAUCAUAUAAGAAGAUGUACAUUUUAGCCGACAAAUUAAUCUUAAAAUGUCGACAUGUAUGACAUCAUCAAGAUCGAUAUAUACACGAUAUUAUUUUGCACAUGCAAAGGUUAGAAAUCGAUCAACUGGCAACUUGCAUGCACAGGAGGUGAUCGGGUGGCCAACGUCAUCCCACUACUCCCAAACAUGUAGCACCAAGAUACCGUACCAACCACCAAGAUACAGGAGGUGAUCGGGUGGCCAAUGUGAUGAAAAGCGACUUUCGAUUUGGCCAUAUUAUAUGAUUACAUCAGAUAUACCGUACCAACACCAAAGGAGUUAGGUAGCUGGAUCGGAUUGGCCUGGCCUAGUAGGAGGGUGCUGCAAAAGAUCGAGUAGUGUACCAGCACGGUUCCACCGCCCCAUGCAUCAGCAUUUCUUUCUCUUUUUCUUUUUUGGUCGAACCCCAAAAGCAUUUCUGAGUAGCAGCAUAUAUAAAUAGAGUCGUCUUAUACAUGCACUUGUGAAAUAUAGCUUACACCUCAAGCUAUAUCAACAUAUAUGACUUCCACCUUCACCACAAGUACUGAAGUAUUUGUUUGGGAUCCGUUCUUUAGAAAUGCUUUUGUUACGAAACAUUUCCACCACAAGUGCUUUGUUUAGAAGUCCAAAAUUGUUAGAAGCAAUUUGCAAAAACUCUUUUGAUCGAUAAUCUCCCAAUUCAAGUGGAGUCAAGCUUGCUAGGACUAGCUGAUAUCAUAAGCUUGUUAGUUGAAAGUUCCCUAAAUGAAUGUCAGAUUAUGUUAUUAAUUUAGAGAGAAGGUACUGUUAUUAAAAAAACCAAAUGCGCGCAUGUCCCGAUUAACACUACAAUAUUGUAGCAAAUCCUUUUUAGUUCUACGCAAAUGCGCGCUCUUAGAAAAGAAACCAGCGUCGGCUAGCCACCCUCAAAAGGUACGCGCGGAGAGGGUGACAAGAGUAAUUCAGUUGGCCAACCAAAUCACGUGACAACCUCAAAGUCAUGAUGGUGACAUGCUCAAAUUAUUGACAACGAAGAUAAUGGUAAAUGCUAUAUAUAGUAUGUACCAAUUUCUCGUACAUCAACUAUAUCUAUCAUUUUUAAAACUCAUUUUGAGACGUACUGCAGUCGUAACACCUUGAUGAAGCCAUUUACCCAUGUAUAUGUAUAAUUAUAAAUCACAACCCCGUAACUUUUCCUAUGAUGCAGCAGAGAGAGAGAGAGAGAGAGAUUUAUAUUCCAUCACAUUGAUUUAUAGAGAGAGAUUUAAUUGGUUGGACAUGCAUGCUAGCUACUAAUUAAGUACUAGAAAUUUAACACUUCUAUAAAAGUGGAAUAUAAAGUUUAUUCCUAUGAUACCAACACUUCACAUUCCAAAAUGGAAACAUAUACUUUCAUUUCAAGCAUUGAAUCAGUAUUGCAAAGUGGAAUUUAGCACUUCAUAAGAAAAGUGACAUAGACUCGUCCAGCACGUACUCUUAUCAUCCAAAACACUUUAUGUAUUUAAUUAUAAAUAGAUCGAGCAUGGCGAGGUAGCAGAUUCUGUUUCAGUUCAUAUUAUAUCACCUCGAUCAUAGAUCAAAGUAUCAAACCGUGUUUUAGUCUUUACAGAUCGAAAGUGUUUUUGAUGGAACUGAAGACUCUUGACAAAAGUAGAAGCACCAAGAUAUAUGGUGAUUGAAUUCCUAACAAGAAGCCAAAGAUUCCAAGAGAUCUAUAUAUACACGAUAUUCUUUUGCAAAUGCAAAGGUUAGAAAUCAACGGGCAACUUGCAUGCACAGGAGGUGAUCGGGUGGGCAACGUCGUCCCACUACUCCCAAACAUGUAGCACAAGCAGCACAACCAUCAACCAUGAUCAUGAGACGUUACCAUAUAUCACCAAGAGCUAUCUUUAAUUUGAGCCUUUACAACAUUAAGCUUAUAUACAUUCUUUUUCAUUCAUUCUUUAAAUUUCGAUAUAUAUAUAUAUAUAUAUAUAUUUAUAUUAGUUACUUUGUUUGAACUUCGUGUUAUGCGAACGUCAUUUAUACUAAUGAAUCUAUCUAAGCAAGUAAGCAUUGAGUUCAAGCUUGUCAGAAGAGUGUGGACACUUUUAGAACAAGAUAAGGCACUGAGAAGUCUGUAAAUUUAUAAGGAUUAAACUACAUAAUGGAUGAUUUCAGUAUAGGAAUCAAAUUGUAUUUUGCAGAGGAAGUUUUGAAACAUUUCGUUUGAAAUUGAGCUAUUGAACAACGUAGACACAUGAAAGAGUAGUGAAGAAACAUGAAAGCAACAUACGAUUAAUUUGGCCAUAUUAUAAGAUUACUACCUUCCAAACCCCCACCCCCAACCAAAUCGUAAAAAUAGAGUCGGCCUAGUAGGAGGGUGCUGCAACAGAGUAGUGUACCGCCCCAUCAGCAUUUCUGAGUAGCAUAAAUAGAGUCGUCUUAUACACUUGUGAAAUAUAGCUUACACCUCAAGCUAUAUAUCAACAUAUAUGGCUUCCACCACCUAGCCUUCACCUUGCUCUUCCUAUUCAUGAUCAUCUCUCCCACCACCUUUGGCCAACAAUCUCUCAUGUCUCCGAUGCGCCGCCUACCUAGUACUAAACGAUCCAGUCCCAAGAGGCGCUUCUACCGGCCUAAUACACACCGCAUUGCCAAGAAAAAACAAAAUAAUCUACUUUGCCAAUCAAAACUUAAAUAAAGUUGAAGAAAGUAAUUUACUGGUAGAGGGCUGUCAUCUAACUAUAGGGUUAGAAAUUUCUAAUCAAUGCAAGAAAAUGAAACUGAUCUUGCAAUUCUUCUGGAGUAGCCUCAGUGUAAGUGUGUAUCAUUAUCGUACGUAACAAUAAGGUCACAAGGAUCAUCAUUUCCUCCUUGGUCGACCUUGGUGGCUUGGUGCAUAUGCCAACCUCAAUAACCUUCCUACAUCCUUUCUUUCUAUGUCACAACUAGCUUUCUAGCAUCCUUUCAAUUUUUUUUUUUGAAAGAAUUAUAAUGGCAGAUUUUUUUUAAUAAAAAAAAAAAACAGAAAAAAUCAGAGGAUAACUUUUCAUAUAGUUAGGGUAUCCAUUGCAUAUUAGAUACUGAAGAUCAUUUCGUUGCUUUAUUUAAUGGGAAAAUGCCUAUUUAGUACUAAUUGUAACCCUUUAUUGCCCAUUCCAAUGACAAUAUUUUCUAUAAGCCCAUUUGAAUGAAAAUAAAUUUUUUUUGUGCCAAAAUGGUCAAAUCUUUACUAAAGUCUUAACAAACUAUAUUAUUUUAAUAUUAUUUUACCCCCACCUUUUCAACAUAAAAAGACUUGGCCGGAACCUUGGACUCCGAUCACCGGCCGCCGGACUCCGGUCAUCGACCACGGGACUUCUGUCACCGGAAUUUCUCCGACCGCCGGACUCCGGUCACCAAAAUUUCCCCGACCGCCAAACUCCGGUCACCGGAAUUUCCCUAGUAACCAGUUACCGACCCCUAAUAAUCAGUUACUGACUAGUUACUGAUCGACCCCCAGUAACCAGUUACUGACACCCAAUAACUAGUUACUGACACCCAGUAACCAAUUAUUGACCCCCAGUAACUAGUUACCGACCUCUAAUAAUCGUGUUACUAACCCAUAAUAAUCAGUUACUGACCCCCAAUAAUAAGUUACUGACUCCUAAUAAUCGCUUACUGACCCCAGUAAUCGGUUACUUACCCCUAACAAUUGUAUUACCAACCCUUAAUAAUCAGUUACUGACCCGCAAUAAUCAAUUACUAACCUCUAGUAAUCAAUUACCGGCCCUAAUAAUUUGUUACUAAUCUCUAGUAAUCGAGUUACUGACCCUUAAGAAAUCGAGUUACUGACCACUACUAAUCAAGUUACAGACCACAAUAACCAUUUAAAAUAGAUUAUUGACUCCGAAUCAAAGAAAAGAGAAUAAGAAGAAGAGUACUUAACACUGAUAGAUCUAGUUUGAAAGCUACAAAGUGGAUUAAACUAAUUUUAGUGCCUGCAAAUCAAAUACAAGUUACAACAUCGUUUCAAUAUAUUACCACCGAAUCAAAGAAAAAAGACAUAACUGCAAUAAGGUAUGGGCUAAGGCGAAUUUGCACGAACCAAUUGUUUCUCACUAAGAUUCCAACCAAAACAGCAUACUGAGCAGACCAAAAAAAAUAAAUCAGAAACUACAUCUUCUAACUAGUUCUUAGAAAGAACACCAGACUAUAGAAACAACACUUCUCCAACCUAUAAACGGCAGCAAUCACAAUUCAGCUGGUACCAAUGGAGGCAGCAGCAGCUCCAGUGUUGGCAACAACAACAGCAGUACCAAUAGCAUUGGCAUGUGAUGACGAACCAGCACCAAACUUUCUUUUCCUGAUCGAGAAAAUACCAAGCAUGUUAUAUGCAAGAGCAGCAGAUAGAUAUAAUCCAGACAUAUAGAAGAGUGUCACAGAGACAAAAAGGAAUACCAAUAAUCAGGAGUUAUAUACAUAUAUGUUUCUUCCGCACCCGAAUGGACACCGAGUCGUUCUUCCCCGCCAUCGCGACUCGGUCGGUGACUCGGUAAACUCUAGGUCGAAACCCUAGAGAUCUGAAAUGGAGGAGAAAGGAANNNNNNNNNNNNNNNNNNNNUUUUUCUUAAGAAUCAUUGAAAUAGGCAUGAACCUAAGAUUUUCAUUCAUGUGGGCUUUGAUUUUUUUUUUUUUGUUGCAUUUGGGCAUUUUCCCUUAUUUAAAAUUACCAUAAUAAGAAAAUUAUAAUAUCAAAGAAAAUAUGAAUGUAUUUAAAAGAAAAAAGAAAAAAAAUUAAAACAAAGUAAUGAGAGAGAGAAAAAAAAUAUAAUACAACAUUUAAAAUAAAAGAAAUAACAGAGACACCAAAGUAAAAAAUGUGGUCUUUGGUUAGUAGAGCCUGCAACAGAGGAUAUUUUUUUGUCAUUUCGUGGCUGCACCGUAAUCAAUAACCUUUAAAUACCAUUAUUCAUAUCCUCUAGAGCAAAAGAUACACAAAUGAAACAAUGUCCAAUGAGCCCUAUGCUAGUAGUGAACAAUAUAAGCAGGUCGAAUCAAAACGGAAAAGGAUAAGAUCGACAUAGGGAUAAAAAGAGAGCCAAAAUAGGAUAGUUUGUUUAUAAUCCUGCAUAAUCUCAAACAUUGUUCAGUUUGAAAUGUGACAAUGCUGAGAAAUCUGAACAUAAUUAAUGAACAUGUAAAUUUAAAUCGCCUCUUUGAACUCUUUCUCUUAUAAAAUGGAACUCGAUAUGUAUUCAAAUGCUUGAUUGUAUACGUAAAUUUGAAGUUCACUACUUGAAACAAGUCCACAUAAGUUGUGGAAUGCUGCUUGAGAAGAAACAUAUGCAAUCACAAUUCACAGAAUAAAUACCUUGUCUAGGAGUCUAGGACACAUCUAGCGAGAACCUCAAGUAUUCUAGUUUGUCGAAGCCCCCUUUUGAGUACUUUAAUUAUUUAUUGGCACAUCUCAAUGAUCUCAUUACUCACCUGACGGUCGAAUCCCACCAACCCGGCGAGGAGAUCCCUAAAUCGAUGAUUGGUACGUAUUAGCCUUAACCUGAAACAAAGAAAGAAACAAGUCAAAGAUCGAAAUCAAAUGCGCAUCAUUCCCUCCAGUUACUAAUUAACCUAGCUAGCUUGGAUUGCGAAGGACAAAACGACAGUAUAGAGAACUAUUUAAGGAGAGGGCAAUUUUCGUACUACAUUAUAAACAUGAGACUGAUGAGAGGCCAAGCUAGCUUUUUUGUUUGUUUGUUUCGCUUUCUUUCUUUCUCGGAGCUGUCAACUUGGGGCAAAGGUUCUGCAACCUUUGUUCUUCUUGCUAGCGUUUAGCUCCAGUUUCUUUUUCCUGAUAAGAAAUCUAUAUCUAUUGUCAGCCAUAUCCAUGCAAAAUUUUCUGGUGAAAAGUUUAUAAUUUCGGUGAGUAAUGUUAGGUGAACCACCUAGAGCCCAUCUUAGAUGACACAUAGUUUACUGUAACACCCUGACUCAGAUUAAUGGACGAUAAAUCCGAGAUUAGGGUGUCACGAAAUGGUUUAGAAACAUCUAUUAGGUCUUACCGCGAUUGAGAAGAUCAAAUACUGUAGUUGGAUUUUCAUGAGAUUUAAACACAACCCCAAAAGACAUAAACCCAGAUGAAAUCAUAAAUACCCGAAACGAGGAGCUGGAGCUUCCAGCCUUCCCACCCGGCCCCUCUCCCCUCCUUCCGAUCCCUUUUCUGCCUAAAAAGAUCGAGAAAGUUGGUGGAGGGUGAUAAGAUCAAGGAGGUCGUUGUCUUCCUCUAACUCCUUCUCAGAUAAGAAAAGAAAAUCGGAGAAAGCAAGAGAGAUAGAGAGAGAGACCGAGAGAGUUAUAGAGAGGAAGAGAGUGUCCCCCAAGGAACUUCCCCUUCCCUCCCUUAAUCUCUUGCUAAGGUCGGUGGUCUAUGACGGUUUGACACCGAUCCUUCUAGACCUCCCCCGAUAUUUCUCUAUUUUGUUAUCUAUAUUUAUAUCCAAAACUGUCUAUAAUAUGUAUUUAUUGUCUCAUAUAUACUCAAAUUACGGUAUUAUAGCUAAAAUACGGGUUAUCGCGAUAUUAAAAUUAUCCUUCAUAAUCUCAAGACUUUGGAAAGUCACGAUAUAUAGUCAAGAAUUUAGAAAAUUCUCACAAACCUGCCAUCAUUUUACCUCGUCACAGGAAUUUAAGUGACAUUUCAAGCAUUCUCAUUAUUCACCGAUUUCAAAAGUAUUUCUUACAAACCCUCACUUAAAUUGUGUCGAUAUAGAUUUUACCAAAUCCUCAAACUAUACGUGUGUGUGUGUAUAUAUAUAACUUACCUUAUGAACCGUCAGAGUAUUACAAACUCACCCCCUUAAAAAAUUUCGUCCUCGAAAUUUAUAAUAGUCCUUGGUGUGUGAUAUCUGGUACGUACUCAAGACGUUUCCCCUUGGUGAGCAAUCACCUUGGCACAUAACUAUAGUAUCUCAAGGUACUUCAGAUAUCAAAUAGUUCUGGAUAGUAUACAUGUAUCCUGCUUCCGUUGUGUUCACAUCCACUUUAAUUCAUUCUUGUACGACUUAAGUUACUGGCAAUUUAUUUACAACAUUCACAGCCACCAUUUUCUUUUAUGUUAGAUUUUCAAAAUUAUUUACCAUACUAAUUUUCUAAUCCGAUAUAGAAAUACUAUCAAGAAAUGAGUGCUUACUUAUUCUAGAGAGAGACAGCUAGCUGAACCAUUUUGCUUGCAUUUUCUUUUAAUUCGUACAAUGACAUCGCAUUAUAAUCGAAUUGAGUUCUCUCUAGAUUUUAUAUCUCUGUUUGUGAAUAUAUGCUUCUUUCAAAUUGUGAAACUUACUGCUGCUCAGACCAACUGUCUCACAAUCCACAAUGACAAAACCAAGAACCAACUCAAGUGUACAAAAUCCUGCAACACCAUAAAGUAAACGAAUCUGACCCCAUCUGGUCUUUUUUUUAUUUUUUAUUUUUAUUUUUAUAACUAUUUGCAAAUCCAUCUAUACCCUUUUUUCCAAUCACAGAGACAAAAAGUUGAAACCUUGUCUGCAAUUAAAUCAACUCAGCCAAAAUUUUCUUUUUUACCUUUUCAUCAACCAGGUCUUUCUUUGAAUUGUAGCAGAUUAGCUACUUUCCUUGAAAUUUAUAAUAGGUCGAUCAAUAAAAACAUAUAUGAUGCACGGUAUAUGAACAAGUAAUAAAUUUGCACAUGUUCACGCAAAUGAGAAUCUCUUCCACAUUUUCAUGAUUGUGUCAUGAAGAUCCCCGCACUCGGCGGUAAAAUCCGGCACUCGGCCGUAAUCCCCACACUCGGAGGUAAACCCCGCAUUCAGCGGUAAAAUCCAGCACUCGGCCAUAAAACCCCGCACUCGGCGGUAAACCCCACACUGGGCAGUAAAAUCCGACACUCAGUAGUCGAACCCGGCAUUGGCGGUAAACCCGUCACUCGAGCGGUAAAACCCGGCACUCGGCCGUAACCAGUGUGGUAACCUUACGCCCCCCAGGCAAGGCGUGGUCACACCCACACUAAACCCCACACUCGGCGGUAAACCCAGUACGGUAUCCUAUGCCCCCGGGGCAAGACGUGGUCGCACUCGUACUGUAAACCCAGCAUAUAGCUGUCCCAGCAUAAAGCUGUAAACUGAAUAUCACCACCACACGAAAUGACAAAAGGUAAUAACCGCCAAUAGCCGUCACCCUGCAUGAAGCGAUAUAAGCAUUAACUGUCAACAUCAUCAAAUGCAAACCCACCAUGCAGUAAAGAGAAAUCACCUAAGGACACAAGCACUUACACAGUGCAUUAAUUUGAUUAGACAAAUAAAUGCAAAAGGCAACACCAUCGACUUAAGAAAUAUGUUGCUCAAACAGUUGUACACGAAUAACUGAACCUCAUCAUAGUAACUUUAACCAUGGAUACUGGCUGUACACUAACAACCACACCAACUGCAGGACAAUUGUUCACCUGAAGUGAGAUCAAUCAGUGAUCAAAUCAAAGGUAAGUCCUUUCUAUAGCUCUCAGCGACCACAACAUAAUAACAUAUAACAAUGGGCAGAAGUAUACUACGUCAUACCAGAUUGAUAUCCAUGAUAUUUACCAACUCAAUCAUGACAGAAGUUGUACAGCUGAAUAAAUUCAAGGACAAGGAAAGAAGUAUGUGCAAUUAUAAAACACAAACAUACCAGUAGAGAUCUAUGACCAGGUUAUCUUACCUGCUGUCCAGAGACGUGUCCUUCACAGAUCAAAGUAAGUAUAUACAUAUCCACGAAUUUAAAAUAUAUGAAGCAGUUUAUUUUCCUUGCCAGUGGAUAAAAAUCAAUGCAAGCAACACAGUAUAUGUAAUAUCCCACAUUGGCCAAACAGAGAGGGGUUAUAUGCUGUAUAUGUACAUGCCCACCUCCAAUCUAACACGAGGCCUUUUGGUGGCUCAGCGGCUUCGGAGGGGAUGGGUACUCCGAGGUUAAGCAUGUCGAUGCGAGAGCAAUCCCAGGAUGAGUGACCUACUGGGAAGUUGCUCCUGAGCUGCCGGAAACAAAACCGUGAGGGCCGGUGGGCCUAAAGCGGACAGUAUCGUGUUACGACGGAGCGGGUCCUGGGAUGUGACAAAUGGUAUCAGAGCCACUCUGCCGUGUGGUGCGAGUGUGCCGACGAGGACGUCGGACUCCCAAGGGGGGUGGAUUGUAAUAUCCCACAUCGGCCAAACGGAGAGGGGUUAUGUGCUGUAUAUGUACAUGCCCACCUCCAAUCUAACACGAGGCCUUUUGGUGGCUCAGCGGCUUCGGAGGGGAUGGGUACUCCGAGGUUAAGCAUGUCGAUGCGAGAGCAAUCCCAGGAUGGGUGACCUACUGGGAAGUUGCUCCUGAGCUGCCGGAAACAAAACCGUGAGGGCCAGUGGGCCCAAAGCGGACAAUAUCGUGUUACGGCGGAGCGGGUCCUGGGAUGUGACAAAUUGGUCCCGGGAUGUGACAAAUGGUAUCAGAGCCACAUGCACAUGCCCACCACCAACCUAAUACGAGGCCUUUUGGUGGCUCAGCGGCUUCGGAGGGGAUGGGUACUCCGAGGUUAAGCAUGUUGAUGCUAGAGCAAUCCCAGGAUGGGUGACCUACUGGGAAGCUGCUCCUGAGCUGCCGGAAACAAAACCGUGAGGGCCGGUGGGCCCAAAGCGGACAAUAUCGUGUUACGGCGGAGCGGGUCCCGGGAUGUGACAGUAUAUGCAUGUCCUUUUAUUCAAGUAUCUAACAAUGAAGCUACUGCUUGAUAAUACCUUGUCAUCAAGCAUGUAACAUUUGAUAGCAACACACACACACACACACACACCCCCACACAUCUCAAGUCUGCAGACCACAGGUGCCAAAAUAACCAAAUUCUCAAAAAGUGAAUAGCAGGAUACUCGCAUGAUAUCUAAAAUUAUGUUCCAAACAAGCAGGACACCACCUUAAAGCUUAUUAAACAAUAUCUCACUGUGUUAUCAUGUACACUGUAAUUUUGCCUUGAAGAAAUCUUGAAGAUGCACGCAUGUAAAAACUUACCUCAAAGGCAGCCCAUAUGUAGCAUCAUAUAUGUGUCCAUAUCCUUCAUCUCUGUGAAACCAGUCUCCUCGUCUUUCACCUUCCUUUCCAUUUCAACUUAAUCUCUGUGAAAGAAACUUCACAUGACUAGAAUCCAUGAGUAGAACAAAUAUAUAUAACAUAUAUGAGUAGAAACCAUGUCUACAUGAUUCAUUUAAUUACUACUAGCCUUGAUGCCCGCGCUUCGCGCGUGCAAAAGGACAUCCAUUCAAAAACUUAUCGUUUGAAUCAAAAAUCAAACAAUCAACUAUUGGUAGUAGAGUUCAAGUCCUUAAUCAAAACCCAGAAACACAAAGGUCUAAGACAAAUAAAAAUAGGUAAAGAGUAGUCCAGAGGAUUCGUCAAAACUAUGUUGACAAAGUUUUAAUUUGAUUCAUCAUAGCAAAUUUCAUCACAGUAGCUACAGCUGUAUUGAUGACCGAGUGAUGAUAAGUGAGCAAAUCCCCUCUCAAUAUUGCUUUCUCAUUACGUGCUUUUAUUGGUCUUCAACAAAAGAGUAGUUAGAAGGAAAAGACAUGUAGAUUGGAUGCAAACAUCGAUAUUAACCAAAACACUGACAAAAAAAACUCGAAGAACCAAUUUCAUUCACUGAUUUCAACACAAACAACAUAUAUUGCAUAACACACAAAUCUCAUCAGCAAGUGAAAAUCGGUUCCCUCCUCAAUAAGUAUGCCAUUAGAAAUCACAUAACUAAAGUAAGGUUUGGCAAGUAAUUGUAUGUAGCAGUAAUAGUUACACCCAAUCACACAAAACACAAAAAGAUUAGCUAUACACAUGAAAACCAACUAAACAGAUUAGCUAUGUAACAUCCACAGAAAUGGAACACAACACACACAAUAACCUACAAACCCAACCUAAAUUCCAAACCACCCGCAGAUACAUCCACAUACACACACUCAUAUGCACCACCUGGAAUUGCAUGCACUGAAAUUUAAAACUCAAAUCGCACUCAAGAUUCAAUCUUACCUAAAGCUUAAUCUCUCAGAAACGUCUAAUUACUCGAUCGGAUCCUCCGAUUUCAACUUCUUUCCUUUCUUCCUUUGCACUCUUCGCUCCGUGUGCACCUUUCAAAUAAGCCGAGCUCGCCCGACAACGAAGAGAAGUAAAAUUUCAGCCUCAUACUGUAUUUCCGCCACCUUUAGUGAUCUUUCACAUAAGACAAAUUGAUGGCUACUCAGCACAUACAUGAGCAUGUUGUUUGCAAGAGUCAGCUAAAUCCCAAUUAGGUAGUAUUUCUCUAGUUCAGCAAUUAUUCAAAAAAGUUUAAACCUAUGAAACAAAUUAAUUGAAAUGGUCAGAUAAUAUUGAUGCAACAGUAUACUCUACAUACUUCAUUGAUACUGAUUUCCAUUGAUGCAACAGUACAUAUUUGUAUAAUCCAAAUUUAUUAAGCUGACAAUACAACAAUUGGAAUUAUGAAUUGAAAGAGGGUGGCACUGAUGUCUAUUGUCUUACUCUUCUUCCUCUUCUUUCUCUGUGUCUCUCAGUGAAAAACAAAACAGAAGGAUUAAACCGAAACAGGUGGCAGCGGUAGAGAACGACAACACAGAAGGACAGAACUGAAAUAACGAUGCAAAUAGAGGGGCAUGACUCAUAAGGGUUGGGUACUGUUCCGUGAACAGUANNNNNNNNNNNNNNNNNNNNAUAUAUAUAUAUAUAUAUAUAUAUAUAUAUAUAUAUAUAUAACUUACCUUAUGAACCGUCAGAGUAUUACAUUUACACAUUGUGUAAAGCUACAUAAUUUGCUCUCACACUUGAAGUAAUAAAGUGCAAUAUAAAUAAAUUUAUUUUAUCAAGUAUACAAUUCAAGUUUCUAAGCUAGCAAACUGAAGAUAUGAAUCGAAAGAGUAAUGCUAGGUGAACCACCUAGAGCCUACCUUAGGUGGCAGUUGACGUGGCUUAGCCACAUCAUUAAUCAUUAAAGUAUAAUUUUUGUCUUAAUUAUGAAAAUUUCUUUCAAUAAAAAAUAAUAAUGAAAAUUUCUUCUAAUGUUUUUACUUUCUUGAAUUUAUCUUUUAGAUCCUAUUUUUGUGGCUUUCUUAUCUAAUUUGUAGCUCUCACGUCCCCCUUCAAUUGAAUGAAAUCUUUUCAUUUUGAUCGAUUACGGUUUCUGGCAAUCAUAUUUAACAAAAGCUUUACCCGUUCUAAUCUUUUCAACAUGUGUAUUCCCUGUUUUCCAAUUACACUUGCUUCAAUCUUAGGCUUCUUCCUUUUCAUUAUUGAAGCUAGUUUUGGGAAGUGGAAUUGACAACCAAAUUUAAUAUGUUUCAAUCGUAAGUAUAAUCUAUGGAACAUUGAAGCAUAGUUUAUAAAUGGUGAUUUCAUACUCAAUACAUGAAAGCAUAAAUCAAAUCAACUCCUCCCAAAAUUCCACACAAUUUUAAUUCGUGACUUCAUAAAAGCACAUAUGAAUGGUCUGAUGAGGACGUCAAGCUAUCAGAUGAAAGAAAAAAAAAAGAGAGAUAAUAUCAAGAUAGAAAGCAUAUGAAUGGAGUGUGAAGAUUUUGAAUUGCUACAGCAAAUUAUAUAUACAUCAAAUCCACUCCUAAACCCUAACUUUAAAGAAGUUAUUUGUGAUUUCGUUAGGUGACUAGAAUCAGCAGAGGUUUUGUCAACAUUUCGUAAUAAAGGAUGAAAGGAAUGAUGAAGGGAGACACUAAAGAGUGAAGACGUCGCGCAAAUUAAUCGAUCCUAAAGAGAAAAUAUGUUCAAGUGUUUGCAGAUCUGCAAACACUUGAACCCUAUUUUCUCUUUAUGAUCGAUUAAUUUACGCGACGUCUUCACUCUUCAGCGUCUCCCCUCAUCAUUCCUUUCAUCCUUUAUUAUGAGCUGUUGACAAAACCUUUGCUGAUUCUAGUCACCUAACGAAAUCACAAAUAACUUCUUUAAAGUUAGGGUUUAGGAGUGGAUUUGAUGUAUACAGAAUUUGCUGUAGCAAUUCAAAAUCUUCACACUCCAUUCAUAUGCUUUCUAUCUUGAUAUUAUCUCUUCUUCUUUUUUUCUUUCAUCUGAUAACUUGACGUCUUCAUUAGGGACUUGGCUUCUCUGCUUGGAAAAAUAUUGCUCAGAUCUGCUUGGAUUUGUACUAGAGCCCGACAUGUCAUCUCGCCAAGAUCUGAUGGCUGAAAUGAAAAAUCGUAGGAAACUCAACUUUACAAAGUUAUAGCGUAUCCUCUACCUUCUACUUUCUACCUUCAUCCUCUCUCUCUCUCUCUCUCUCNCNCUCUCUCUCUCUCUCUCUCUCUACUCUCUCUACUCUCUCUCUCUCUCUCUCUCUCUCUCUCUCUCUCUCUCUCUCUCUCUCUCUCUCUCUCUCUCUCUCUCUCUCACACACACAUCAAUUUGGCUUAUGAGCCGAAACUCCAUGACGGGUGGCUCCCCCAUUCCAGACCCAACGUCGGCCAACUCGUUCUUAUCUGGAUCCGCAUCAAAUACAUAUUGAAACUCGAUUUUUCGUCGUCGGAAUCUGAUUUGUCGCCGCCUCGCCGGUAGUAACCUAGAUUUCUCUUUCUCUAUCUAUUCAUUUGGUAACCCGAUCACAACUUCUUCACUUCUUUUUUUUCUGAUGGGUUGCCUUACCAAUUUGGCAAUUUAGCGUUUUUGUUCAGCAUCAGUGUCUUUUAUGUUUAAGAAUGAUGUCAUGAGUCAUGGCUGCUGGGUGCGUCACUUUCACAGUGAGAAGGGGAGAAAGAACGGAAGGAAAGGGAGGAAGGAGACAAUAUAGUGCUUCAAGUCCACCAAUGUGCAUUGGGAACUUUUAUUGUUAGACAUUAGAUUCAUUGGUGCUGAUGUGGCAGCCUAAUAGAAAAUCCAAGCAGAUCCAAGCAAAUAACUUCCCAAGCAAAGAAGCCAAGUCCCUUCAUCAGACCAUUUAGACGUGCUUUUAUGAAGUCACGAAUUAAAAUUGUGUGGAUUUUUGGGACGAGUUGAUUUGAUUUAUGCUUUCAUGUACUGAGUAUGAAAUCACCAUUUGUAAACUAUGCUUCAAUGUUCCAUAGAUUAUACUUACGAUUGAAACAUAUUAAAUUUGGUUGUCAAUUCCACUUCCCAAAACUUCAAUAAUGAAAAGGAAGAAGCCUAAGAUUGAAGCAAGUGUAAUUGGAAAACAGGGAAUACACAUGUUGCAAAUGAAGUGCAUUUGAAAAGAUUAGAGCGGGUAAAGCUUUUGUUAAAUAUGAUUGCUAGAAACCGUAAUCGAUCAAAAUGAAAAGAUUUCAUUCAAUUGAAGGGGGACGUGAGAGCUACAAAUUAGAUCAGAAAACCACAAAAAUAGGAUCUAAAAGAUAAAUUCAAGAAAGUAAAAACAUUAGAAGAAAUUUUCAUUAUUAUUUUUUUUAUUGAAAGAAAUUUUCAUAAUUAAGACAAAAAUUAUACUUUAAUGAUUAAUGAUAUGGCUAAGCCACAUCAACUGCCACCUAAGGUGGGCUCUAGGUGGUUCACCUAGCAUUACUCUUUCGAUUCAUAUCUUCAGUUUGCUAGCUUGGAAACUUGAAUUGUAUACUUGAUAAAAUAAAUUUAUUUAUAUUGCACUUUAUUACUUCGAGUGUGAGAGUAAAUUAUGUAGCUUUACACAAUGUGUAAACUAUGUGUCACCUUUUUGACUGUGUGAACUACAAUGUCAUUUUUUGAAUACAAGAAAUGCAAGUUUUAAGACUUCAUUUUUUAAUGUUGUUCAAGUUUUAAUUUUUUUGUGAACUAUCAAAUUAUAAAGCAACAACAAAAUGUAUGUUGUUGUUGUUGUAAAUAUUAUGUCUUUAGAAUAUUCACUCUACCCUUUUUUUGACUGCAUAAGCUCUACCAUUAUAUAUAAAUGGGUCUAAUGAGAAUGUAUAAUACACAUCUCUACAAUUCCUCCUAUUCAUCUCUCUAUCUUCUCAAUCUCUCACUGACGCAAUUUUUUAAUUUAUAACACGUUAUCAGCACGUUCGCUCUUAUUUUCUACAAAAUCCAUGAUGAUCGACAUGCCUUAUAAUGCAACAUAGUUGUCUAUUACCAAAGCUAACUAUCUAUGAGUUCAUCUUAUUUGUUUAUGUUAUCGUAUUACUUAAUUGUUCCAUAUGAUCAUACAUUUGUUAUAUAAUUGUUGUGUGUUUUUAUUUAUAUAUGACUUUUUGAACUACGUGUUCCAAUAAGUCAAGACUCGAGUCCAUUGACCUAGUAGUAUUAAGCUUAUGGCCCUAUAGACAUCAUAUAAAUGUUUUUCUCGUGUUUUCCUUUCUUUGUAGAAGAUGACUCAUUUGACGAAAUUAACUUUGACGCUCUUGACAUUUCUGGCAAGAAGUUGAGUUGGGUCCUUGAUGCUGAAAUUCACCUCACAGCUAACAAAUAAACCUUGGAGAUACCAUCGUUUUGGGCAAUAAGGCAUUUGGGCAAGAUCAUGCGAAUUCUCUUGCAUCAGCAUCUUGACAAGAGUUUGAAAGACGAUUAUCUAACAGUGAAAGACCCGCUCGAGCUUUGGUAAGCAUUGGCUGAUCGAUUUGCCCACCAGAAAACCAUUGUUCUACCAAGAGCAGGAUAUGAAUGGACUCAUUUACGCCUUCAAAAUUUUAGCUUUGUCACUGAUUUCAAUUCUGCUAUUCAUUGUAUUACCUCCCAACUAAAAUUGUGUGGAUAUGUCAGUGAAGACAGUAAGCCUGAAAAGACUUUUUUGACUUUUCAAUUUUUCGUGUCACAAACUUGGUUUUGCAACAACAUUAUCUAGAGCGAGGAUUCAAGAAGUAUUCUGACCUCAUUUCAUGCAUGUUAGUGGCAAAGGAAAACAAUGAGCUCCUAAUGGAAAACCACCAUUCUCGUCCUACUUGGUCUCACCCCAUACUUAAGGUGAAUGCUAUUGCUCCUGGUGGUGGUGGUGGCGAUAAACAUGGCAAUAAACAUAACAAUACUAGGGCUCGUGGUAAGGGAAAUGACCGCCAACGACCAAAUGUUCAAGGUCGAAGUGGUUCCAACCAACAGUUUGGUAAAAGGAACAAUGCCAAGAAUCAGAAAGGUAAAAACCAUAUGGUCAAAGCACCUAAGAACAAUGAAAGUGUUUGCACUAGAUGUGGCUGCAACACCGACUUUUGAUGCACUUGUCGCAUACCUGAUUAUCUUGUGGCACUUUACCAAGCCUCACUUAAAGGCAAUAAAGCUGAGGGAUGUGUUUUUAGGGGUACGUUGUGUUCCAUCUUUGGCGGUAGUGUGAGGAGCAUCUCACACUGCUCCAUAGGUGCGAUGGUUCAUCAGGCCGUGGAGUUUGGUGACGCCACUUGAAAAGAUUGCGUCUUGGCCAUGGAUCGUGGAGGCUUUGACAACAUCAAAGUGAGUGAUGGGUUGCUUCUGGGCCGAACUUUUUUGGGCCUGAGCUUUUAGCCCAAGUUUUGGAUGUUAGGGCUUGAGUUUGAUGUGCCCUUAUGGGGUGUAGGGCUUGGUUUUAAGCUUUGAGCUAUUAGGCCUUUGGUUCAUAUGGUAGGUGUUCCUGAGGAAUCUUUAUCUACAUAGGGUGGUUUUAAAAGUGUUAUGAACAAAUUAGGGUGCGAGCUUAAGUAGAAAUAUGACUAAUUCGAGAGAAACAAGGAGAAUUUGGGCCAGAUAGGAAAAUAGAAUGUCGUAAAGCCCAAAGGCUACGCUUGAUGGGCUAGGCCCAAAUCUGAUCGUAACUCGUAGUUUGUCACCUAUGUUGCACGGACAAUUCUGAGGGCGGAGUGUCGGAGUGUCCGACACGUGCCACAUGGCAUGUCAGAAAAUGUUGACUUGUCCACCAUGGCCCUCAACAUUUUCCGACACGCUUCGACAUUUUGACCGACACGCCAUGUCAUCAUCCGACACGCCACAUCAACAAUUUUAAUUAAAAAAAAAACAUAAACCUAAAAGAAAAACUAUCACAACCUCUAAGUAGCAAAAAUCACAGCCUCUAAGUAGCAAAAAAAACAAAACAAAAUAGAAUAAUAAACAUAGCUGAUAUAUCCCAUUAUCCCUCCCAACCAAUGUUUAAACUCUAAUAGUCUGAUCUAGUUUGUAAAUUACAACUUAUUCUCACUUUUCCACUCUUCCCCUUUUCCUUUAUCUCCAUUUUUCACUUCAAAUUAGUCACCGAGUUUCCUAAUCUCCAUUCAAUUGCAGCACCUCUUUGCUAAUAACCGCAUAUGGUCUUGAACUCAUGUUUUAAAUAUUUUUUUAUAUAUUAAAAUACAUAAAUGUAUUAAUUAUUUCCUGUGUCCAUGCCGUGUCAGAUCUUAGAUUUUUUUGAUUUACCGUGUUGACAUGUCACGCCGUGUCAAUGUUCGUGUCCUUGCAACAUAGUUUGUCACAAAUUAGCCGAGCAUGUUGCCUAAUCACAUUUGUGAAUGGAUCUCAACAACACCAUUUGCUAAAAUGCAUGAAAUGAACCGGGUUAACAAGACUCAAUUCCUAAUAAAUAUUUUUCAGUAUUAUAAAUACAUUGGCCUGGAUACGCAAUUCUCCAAAAAACCCAUUUCCAAGAUUUCAAGGCUCCAGAACCAUCUCUCUCCAAUCAAUCUUGUUCACCAUGCCACCAACCAUGAACAGCCGAUCCAACUUCAACAAGGCGCUCAGGAGGUCGGGGAGCAACGCUCGAGAUUAGCACCGACCGCCUUAUCAUUGUCACCUCGUACAACGACGAGGGAUUCGUUGAAGGCAGCAAUGGCGUACCCACACACGGGUUACGGUGGGCUACAACCCACCUCAAAUAUAAUGAAAACAUUAAUUUGUAGCAAAAUUAUAGUUUAAUAAGUUAAAGUUUAAAAACUAGCCCACCCCAAAUUUUCAUACUUAGCCCAUAGUAUUAAACUUAGUUUUUUAAACAUAGAUGAAUUAUUUGGUUUUUUUGAACUAUUUUUUCAUUAUGCCUAAAAAACUUACUCUUUUAUAAAAUUAGCCAAAAAAGAUAGUAUUUGGAUAUUUGUGUAUAUGAGUGGGUCAUAUAUAUUUUUUAUUUUUUAUUUUAGUUCUCAAUUGCUUAAUUCCUCAAUCAAUUAACCCAUUUGAUUCUAUAGUACGUUCUUCAAUUGUAUCUUGUUGUUUUAUUAGGAUGCGUUGACUGAUUGUAUAUUUCUUUUCCGAUUAAGGUUUGAAGAUGAAAGAUUUGUAUAAUCAGUUGCUAGAUCAGUGUUUGUUUUCUUAACUUUUGAUUCUAUCAAAUGAUAUUAUAUUGAUUUAUGUUUAAUUAGUUUACUACUUGAUUGUUUGAUAUGUUUUUAAACUAAGAUAUCGUACGUAGAACUUAAAUAAAGAAAUUAGAUAACUCUGAUAAAAAAAUUCAACCCACCCCAUUUCAAAAUUGUAGUUCCUCCAUUGGAAAGCAUGAAGGAGGUUGAGGUCCUAAGGAGUCUUGCCGACUGUCGCUACAUCGUGUGCCUCAUCGAGCACGAGGAGGACAACAUGGGUCCCCGGUUGAAGUACUGCGACCCGAAGACGGCGACCGCCAUUGUCGUGGCCUAUGAGCACUAGGACACAGAUUUGACCAUGUACCGGAGAGCCAUAUUGCACAUGCGUCUCCCUGAGAACACACUCAAGACCGUCUUCCAUCAGCUCGUGAUGGGGCUUCGCGUAGCUCACUUUGCCCGGAUUUUUCUCCGGGACCUCCACCUGGAGAAAUCAGGGUUUCAGAGCAGCCCUUUCUUGUCAAGCUGUCUGACUUUGCUGGCACCAAGGUUGUUGAUCCCUAUGUCGGGUUUGAAGAUGCGGUGACACCUCCCGAGGCAUUGGAGCGCUGCCUCAGCUAACAGGCGCAGAGCAGCUAAUCGGUUCCGAAAAGUAUACCAAACAGGUGGAUAUGUGGGCGCUUGGCUGCAUAAUGGGUAUGGUUCUUGAUUGUGAACUUGUGAUUUGGGGGUUUUAUUGUGUUGAACUGUGGCAUGUGUGCAAUUGAUUGGUUGUGUGAUCAUGGGAUUGUGUUGUGUUUUGUGAGCAAAUUAAUUGAUUGUGUUAAUAUCAUGGUGGGUGCAGUUGAUAUGAUAAAUAUAGUGAAAAUUGAUGGUGCAUUUGGAAAUGGAAGGUUAUACCAGUGAGUACAAAGAUGCUUUUGAUGAUUGAAUUGGUUUACUGAUAAGGUUAGGGACUGUUUGUUUCUUCUCUGGUUGCUCUGUUUCUUCUUGGUUUCUGUGUUUUCCGUUUUGUAUACUGAUGUUUCUUUCUUAAUGAUAUUGUUACCUUUUCAAACAAAGGUUAGAUGAUUGAAUUGGUCAUUAAUUAAUUCACUGUGAGUCCAUUUAUAGGGAUGAUAUGACAUAAAUUGUUAUGUCUUGUUGUUAAUUAAGACCUUUGUGGAAGAAAAUUUGCCCCGACCACUUUUAUUUGUCCACCCUUAUAUCCACCUAUCUAGAUUUGUGUCAUGUGUUCUCUCUCUUACCAUUCUCUAACCAUGGUUAGUUAUAUAUAUAUAUAUAUAUAUCUUAAUAAAUUCUAUAAUAAUUAUAUUUUCUUUUAGUUUCAGUUAAACUAUUGACUACAUAAUAAUAAUAAUAAUAAUAAUAAUAAUAAUAAUAAUAAUAAUAAUAAUAAUAACUUCUUUUAGACUCAUCUUAAAAAUAAAAAAUCAAGCUUUUGAUCACUUUAGGACUCGGAAUAUAUCCUUGUAUUCUUAGGUCUAGGUUUCGCCCUUUUUGCGGUGGUUUUAGACGAUAUAAUGAUCAAGGGGUUGGCUUGAGACUUGAGAAGGGUGAAUAGGGAGAAAUUUGUAGGUAUGGUGUUUGAUGCAUGAAAUGCAGAAAAAGGUGAACUACCCUACCAAUAUUCAAUAUUGACAUAUAAAAUUUACUCAAAUGGCCGAAUGAUGGAAACUAUCAAACUAUGAGCCUAAUUACGGGUGAUUGUAUGUAGAAGUGUAGAACAACCACAACUGAUAUCAGUACAUCCAAAUUGACUUACCUAUGGCUGAAUUUUAGUGGACUUCUUCCAAAUCACUUACCUAUGGCUGAAUGUCUGCAUGAUUUUCUAUUUAUUAAGCUGAGUCAAAAGUUAGAUUGAAAUUUAAAAAAAAAAAUAGAAUUAUAGAAUUUAUUAUUGUGAUUAUAAUAGUUAACUAUGGUUAAAAAAGAGAGGACACAUGACAUAAGUUUAGGUGGGUGGGCAUAAGAGUGAUCGGCAAAUUUGCUUCCGACUUUUAUGGUCCAUUUAUUUAUCAGGGGAGUCAAACACAUGAGAGCUAAUGUUUAUUGAGUCUAUUGAGUCUAUCUAUAUUUUCAUGUAUAGUAGUAUAGUAUCAAAAAUUCUUAUAUUAUAUGUCCUGAAGCAAAGUCAAGUCUAGCUCUUCAUUCUGGUUUGUAACUUUAGGGGUAGAUUGAAGUUUGUAAUUCCUAUUGGCACAACACCACUUUUAUAUGUCCUGAAGCAUAUGCAUGCUAGCUUAGUCAAGUUGAGUCUUCAUUCUGUCACACUUUAUGUGCAAGACUGUUUUCAUUGGACUUCUACCUUUUGUUCUCAGAAUAUAUGGUCAAAAACUGUUAUAUUUGGUGUGUUUUCCAAAAUAUAAUUGUUGAAUUCUUUUUUUGCUUCUGUUUUUCUUUUGUAUACAGUUGAAAUGGCAACUGGUGAGGUUUUGUUCCCUGCUGAUCCUACUUCUCACCCCCGUACCCAUCUCCAAAACAUAUAUAGGUAAUUCCAUUCAUUUAAUAUUUUGAGUGUGUUGUUGUAGUUAUUAAUCCAUAAACGUAUAUUGAGGUCUAAAGUUCAAUUUACCUGUCUACAGACGCUUGGGCACUCCAUCUGAGAACCCCUAUCCUUCUGAUGUGAAGGAUCAGUGGGAUACCCAGAAGACUAUUAGGCCUACCCUUAAUCUCUAUGCUCGCCUGUUACCAUUGUUUGGCCAGUCAGGAUCUGAGCUUGUUAAUGGUAAGUAUAUUUGUACACAAUUUUUGGAAAGCAAUUUGUACACAUUUUCCUUGUUCUAUUACAAUAACCAUUUAAUUUCAUCUCCUAUUUGUUAUAGGGAUUGUUGUGCUUUGAUCCGAAAAAAAGGACUACAGCUGGAAGGGCCGUUGGGCAUGACUAUUUCAAGGACCUUGAAGUGAUCUGAGCAUCCAAGAUAUGAAAGAAGACACCUUUGUAAUCAAGUCAUGAACUCAUCUCUCCAUGAUAGUCUGUUAGACUUGAGUAUUUCCUUUCCUGCUUUCAUUCUUUCCCUUACUGGAGCUAGCUGCACAUUGGAUUUUAAAACUCUACCUUUCCCUUCCUUUGAUGGGUCAAUGUAGAUGAGGACUUGGUAAAACUGAAUCAAUGUAGAUGAGGACUUGGAAGGGAUAAGGGCUCACUUCCUCCAUUUGUGGAGCCAAAUAGGGAGCUGAAAUGCUUAAGAACAGUUCUUCUAUUCCUAUUUAAGUGAUUUCAUUCCACCUUAUUUGAAUACUAGAGCAGAGCGGUACAAACCAAUAAUAGAAGCCACCGUGAGACCCUAAGCCUUUCUUGAUCCGAUAAAGGCCAACUAAACAAUACGAUUUAACUCUCAAGUCUUGACCAUAAACAUUAAUGGAACAGGCAUAUAAAGGUCACUGAUCUGUAAUAUGAAGACCGAUAGACUGGUUAAAAAUAACACCAUUUCCAACAUUUCAAGAUUGACAAAGUGCGACAAAACAUCGACGUAGAAGGGAAAAGACAUUAGCCAAGAGGUUCAACUGACAUUAGGUAUUAACCUCCUAUACAAAAUUAUAAUAGAUACAACAUAAACCUAAGGAAAAUUCAGAACGAGUCCAAUCUCAACUUGCAAAAGCUUUUAUGUCUAUCAACCCCAAUAAAUUUUCUAUUUGGGCUGUUUAAAGUUGAAGUAGAGGCAGAGCCAUUACAACACCAAAGAUAGAAAUGAGCAGUAACAUCAUCCAGGUAGGGAACGACUGCUUUUUAAUCCUCCUCGUGUCCUUUAGGGCACCUACUGUUUUCAUACCUCCUGCCGUAGAACCGUCAACCUUUUCCAACAAGGGCUUGGAAUUUUCUUGAGACGAUUCAGGUGCAACCUGCUCUUGAUUCAGCUGCUCAGAAAGCUGCUGUUGCUGCUGGUUAUAUUUCUCCACAUACUCCGGAAACAUCUUGCGAAAUGUGACACUGGUUUGACAGAAAAUUGGCACACAUUAGUGGAACGACCAAUCUGAAUCGAUAUUUAGUCUUUAAAACUGACAAGAGUCAAGCGGCUUUUAGCAGGUCUACAAGAAAUCUAGCAUUUGUGAGAUAGAUAUAACAAUAUGCUAGCAUAUUCAAGUAUUUUCUAUUUGCCCUUAGUGUGGCCUAAACUAUCGAACAAAAACCUAGAACAAACUGUAUCUGGUCGAAUGCACUUACUUCUUGGCGUUAAAAGCAAGAGAAGUCUUUGCCAACCGUUGCUUCUCAGCUACAGUAGUGUUCACACUGCCAGUUGUAGGACUGUUGUCCAUCUGCACAAGUGAACACAAGUUGAAAUACAAGCCUCAAAAAUCAAGGGCAUGGCAUUCCAAACCAUUGGAACUAUAAAGUCUAUAUAGGUAUAAUCAACAAAAAUAUAUAUGAUAACAUUUAAAAUGAAAAAUAAAAGUACAUUCCUUCAACUACUGAAACUUAGAGGGGACAUAAAUCACAGGUUCCUCUAUAUACAAACUAUCAAUUACUGACAUGUAAUCUUCCAAAUAAAAGUUAAUGACAUGUAAAAGCCGACAGACAGAAAGCGGCAUGGAAAAAAAAAAUUCAAAGAGCAACAAUAAACUCACCAUAAAUGAAAGAAGCCCUGUAAGUAUGCUGCAUUUAUAAAGAACAUAUGUUAGUGUAGUCUAGUGAUUUAUCAAAUUAUUCAGUUUGCAAAUUAAGAAAAGGCACAUAAAAGAAGUUCCUCUGAAGUCCAGACAGGCCUAACCUUGACACGGACCACAUCGGAUUCCAACUUUCAGGAUGAACUACAUAGCAGCAUAAGUUGAAAGAAGACAGUUAUAAAGAGCAUUUAUAAUCAAAAAUAAAAAAUAAAAUAAAAUAAAAUAAAAAAAUCCUUAAAACCACCUCUAUAGAACUUACAAUCACUCAUAGACAAACAAAUUUUCUUCUGAGUCAUAAAUCGUCCAUUGGGAGUAGUCAUGCUACAAACAGGAACAAAGUCAUAAGUGUAAUCAACAGUAUACAUGCACACAGAAGAAAUUUUGUGUACUAAAUCAAAACUAGGUGCUUCAUAUACACAAACAGAACCUAAUUUGCAGAAGAAUUUAAUAAAAAGUCGAUACCUGAUUCCUGGUGGUUUAUAGGGAUACUCUGGAGGAAACUUGAUCUUCCCAUAGUAAUAUCCACCUGAGAUCAGUGGAACAAAUUCCAUAAGUGGGUUCGGUUUUGAUGUAAAAGGUUUAUACACGGAGUUAACAAUUUGGCAGAUGAAAAGCUAAACCCAUCUAGCUCUAGUACUAAGUGCAUCGAGUGAGCUAGCAAAUAGGUAAGCUUCAUACCAUGUAGGAUAAACAUAAUCAACUAUCUAUAACGCCUGAGGUCCCAGGUCCAAGCCCCCCUCUCCCAACAUACGAAUAUAAAACAAUCAUCAUAGGAAUGGUACAACAGAUGCUACCCAAUAUCACACAUCAUAUAGAGGAAAAGGAGACUGCAAACAAACCUGCAAAAGGUGUUCCUUCGCUUCCCUCCAAGACGUAAUCUGCACAUCCAAUACAAAGAAAAAUGAUAAAAUUCCCAACCAAAGGACAUGCAAGGAUACUGUUUCCACACUACAAAUUCUUCACUAAUAUCAAGGAAGGAUAAUGAGUAAUUUCCCAUGACGCAAAACACAGAUUUAGUAGCUUCUCACUUAAAAAUCUACAUUUCAAGAUUUGCAGGGAAAAGCUAUGAGUAUGUUUACACAGUAAUCCCCAAAUCCCAAAGCAUGAUACUAAACUUGCAGAGAAUAAAUAAUUUUCAUCUGUGAACCUGGUUCAUUUGUUUUUUUUUUUUUUUCCUUCCUUUUUCUUAUAGAGCCAAAGAAAGAAAUUCUUCUUGACCAAAAAAAUAAAGAAAAGAAAGAAAUUCAAUUUUCUUGCCCAUUCAAUACAGGGACAAAGAUAAAUGUUUUUAUUUCCUGGAAACAGAAAGAACCCAUGUCCUGCGUAACCAUCCCCACACCACCUAAAUGCCAACAUUAAACACUGGCUGUAGAAAACGAAGCUAAAUCAUGAAAGGACCAGAGUGUUUAACCAUCUCUUAGAAAAGAAUACUUGGCUACCUGAAGUCCAGUUUUUCACUGAGCAAACACCCAAACUGACAAAAUUGCUCAAUGCAUUAUCAAAUCCUGGUCACAUGUAAGUUCCCCAUUCUCUACUCAUCAAAUGUGAGAAAAGCCAAGCACCAAAAAUCUAUGUCUUGAUUAUAUAAAGAUUAAGCCCUCUAUUUUCAUAGAAUUAACAUUGCAAAGACUUCGAUUCGAUUUUAAAGGAAGCCAGUUGUCAGUAAACUUACGCCACUCGAGAAUGUCAUUUGGGGAAGGACGGGCCACAACAUGAGAAACCGGUUCCUACAUAUCCACAAAUAACACAAUUAGCACCAUCCAGAACACAGAGUAAAAAAUUUCUAAGCUACCCAAAGGAUGCAUCAUUAUUAAAUUAAUGCACAUAUAAUUCCCAUAGUAAUCAAAUCUAAAAAGAAAAUUGAUACAAAGCACUUCUUUCAACAAUACAAUUAUUAAAGCAUUGGAUAGCAAGUCCAUAGGACAGUGUGAUUCAGAAACAAGCAAAAAGAAAACAAAAUUAGAUUUACCAUGAGAUAACAAAAUUGAUCGUUAACAAGACCAAGAGAUAUUUUACUGAUAUUUGAGUGAAACAUGACAUAAAUAAUGGCUAAACAAAGUACUCUAGGGAUGGAAAUGAUACAGGACUACUAUCAGUCUAUACCAGAUAAUAUACAACAGAAUCAGUAGAAAAAAGAACGCACCUUACACAGUGCUCUAUAUUCCUUCUGUAAGCGCUUGACGCAUGACUUCUCUGCCAUCUCCCAAAAAUAUCUUAAAAGUAGCAAAUAAAGCCCCUAUUCAGUGCUUAACUUCUUUUUUCCCAAAUGUUAUUGCCAAUUCUCUGCUAAACACGGACAAGAUUCACAUAUUAGAACUGAAUUCGACGCAUAGACUAUGACCACUAUUGACUACAUGAGGAUGCAAUAAAUCAUGUACCGGACAAAACCAUAUCAAAAUCAGUUCAAGAAAUAGGCAUCUCAGUCCACUUUAAAGUCUUUCUUUAGACAGUCUACCUCACCCUCCAUACUCCAAAAUUCAUCAAACAAAAGUUUCCCAAUUUUUCCUAAAUAAUUUAUCAACCAACAUGAUUACACCAUCAUAAACCAUCAAUAACACAACCGCUACGAAAGAAAUCCAACCAAUUAUAUUUUAAGUUCUUAACAAAGCUAUCAAUAAUCAAAAUCAAUAAUUCCCAAUCAAGAUAUAACUUUCACUCAUAAAUCAAUAGCAAAAAUCUAAGCUAAGAGGUCUCAGUAGUAAUCUAACACAAGUGUAAAGCUAAACAGAAAAAGAAAAGUGCCCAUACUAGACAUUCAAAUCCCACUACUCAAUUUGGGCAAAGCCCAGCAGCAAUUCACCAUCCAAUUCUCAAUCUUUCAAGGGUUUUAGCCCAAAAUCCCAACAACAAAUCGGCGAAACCUAACGAAUCCAAAUCCAGUAAUUGACCUCAAAAUUGAACUCGAAAAAAUUAAGAAUUAGAGAGAGAUGGAUAGAUCGAGGAGAGUAAUAGUGGGCAACGAGAAAUAGGAUGAACCUGAGGAGAUCGGGGGAUUGGGGAUAAGCGAGGGAGGUCGAUCGCACAUGGAAGGAAGCGUUAGGAUCAGCGCAGACAAUUUUCCCUUUUUCUUGUUUGCAGAUUGUCCCGAAUGGAAGGAGACGACGUCGUAUUGGACCUAUUUGUUCCAACUCCAAUGUGACGGUGUCAUUGGUGUGGCCGACUAUAGGUUGUCCUUCCAGAGGACCACAUGUUUAAAGGUUCCUAUUUAAUUGACUGUUAUGCCCCGUUUCCUCCAGUUUCACUAUUGGGCAGUUCGAGUGGGAAGUGCUGGACUACGCGAAAGUAAUCUUGUAUACUAAACUAAUUCCAUUUUUUCUUGUGUCUGUUUGCAAUGUAGGUUUGUGAUGAUAGACAUUCAGAAUUAAUUCUUUGCUUAGACAUAACAUUAUGAGAGACACUGCCCCGCUCCUGAAAAGCAGUUUAACUGUUUAAUUCCUCCCCCACCUGGAUACAAGGUGAGAUGCUGCAUUGUUUAUAUUAAUGGAAUUGAGGGAACGUUGCAUUCUGAGUAGUUUGAAUUGAGAAUUGAGUAUGUUUUAUGUCUUCAUUGAAGAAGAAGAGCUUUGUUUAUGUUAAUAUUACACAGCUCAAAUAGAUGAAAAUUAUCAUUCAUUGAGUUCAUAGUGAUAGUAGGUGCUAUCUAUCUAUAUAUGGUAACCGGAAAUUGUGGGAUUCUUCUUUAGAAAAAGUAGUGAUUGUUUGAUUGUUUUUUUUUUUUUUUCCUAAAUAGAUCGGUGCGACAUAGUUGAAGAUAUGUGUAUCAUAAUUGCUUUAUUACUGUCAUUUCGGUCGUAUGGAUUGUGCAAUUCGGUUCCAUGCUUCAAAACAUCCUAAAGACCUCUACCACUUCAGCAAGGGGAUGGAUUUUGGAACUAGGUGGUGUUUAAAACAGUGGUCAUCAUCUUGCCAUGAACACAAUCGUGCUUAUUUUUGGUAACUUUUCUUAACAAUUGGUCACCACCUUUGUUGAUAUUUGUGGUUCAAUUUCAUAACCUGAAUUACACUGAUCUAAAUCUUACAACAGGUUUUUGGGUCAGCUUGGUAUAUCAGUAGCCGACAACAGAACGUAUUGCAGACAGACACUGAUGAAUGGAAAUUACAGCUUACUCUACAUUCUAACUUGUGUUCCCAAUCCAGAUUGCAUCAUGAUCUUUAAUGUAUAAUUCUUUUGUACUCUCAUUGCGUUCUUUAACACCGGGUAUUGCAUGGCACAAAUUCAAAUUCAAGGGAAGAAAUGUACUGUGACUUUUUCAUUUUUUCUAACGUUUGGAUCUUGAUCAACUUUUGGAUAUCCAAACAAUUUUUUUAUAGAUCUAUAAUAAACAUGGCAUACUUUAGCAGCGCUUAGGCUAGGCAUAACCGCCAGACUUGCCCAAACUAGAUUCGCUAAAGACAAGACAACAACAACAGCUACAAGUUGCAGCAAGCCGCUCGAUAAUUGAAGUUGGGACGCGCCAGCAAGCAUGUCACGAAUACCGCUUGACAGAAGCAAUGCUGCAGGCAUCAGUCCCACAUCAAAGAAGAGGAAAUGUCUCAACAUCAGUACUAAUUUAAGCCUUGGGGAAAUAGAACAAGAAAAGAAAGGAAGAAAGGAAGAAAUGAAGAGAAGAGGAAAACGAAGAAUGAGAAGAAAUAAAGCAAUUGGGCCUCUAUGGCAUCUUGGUCUCCCCCAAACUUUUUUUUGUCGCCCGUGAUAAAUCAAGUGUCCAAAAGAGAGAGAAAAGAAAAGCUUUGCUCGGUCUCGAUGUUACGGGUGUCCGAAUUAAAAUAUCCGAAUGUUGGUUUUGUACAAAUCUCUAAUCAAAUUCUCGACUCCGCCAAUCAAAUUCACAAAAUCCAAAUCUCUGGCUUCACCGAUCAAAUUCACCCAAACACCACAAAUAUCAAAUAUCCAAACCAAAUUCAAGGGCUUUAAACCCUCACAAAUAUCCCAAGCACAAAUUCGAAAUAAAUGGGUCACCUACCCAUUUAAAUCCCAAAUGCCGGAACUACAUGUGGUUUGAUCUCGCAAGGGUAUGUAGGUAAUUUGGAAUCAAAUAAUCUGGAUACAACCACAUCUUAAACACUAUUUCCUAUUUUAAAAGAGUGCGGCUAUUGGGACCUCCAAAUUUGCUCACUAGACCUCACUCUAUUUUAAAUUAUUAAAUAACAUAUACAUCCUCAUACAUAAUGACUAUUAAGGACAAUAAUUAUACAAAAGGAAAUAUUGUAUUUAUUCUCUUUAGACUUUCCAAUUCAAUAAUAAUUGAUUCUAUUCUUUAUUAUUUUCCUUAUAUAUUUUUGUUUUCUAAUUUCUUUUUAUUAAAGCAUAUAUAUAGUUUAUAAGAGCUAAAAAAAUAAUCAAUAUCGAUUAUGUGACAUACAAUUUUGUAUUAUCAUACAUGUUGAACGCAUAUACUUGCAAGAUGCAUAAAUAUUUUUGUAAGAAAAAAAAAUUAAUAUCUAUCGAUUAUAGAAAAUAUAUAUUUAUUGAAAUAAUUUAUUAUGAGGUACAAAAUAGAGAUCAAAUUAUUCAAAAGAAAAAAUGGAGAAAAUAUAACAUGUACAAAAGACAAAAACAAUUAAAAAGAUAUAUAGAGUAGUUCAUGAUAGAACAUUUUCUUGCAUGAAAAAAAUAAUCAAAAAAUGAAGGUAGGGAUAAUUGAUGUUGACAAACAAAAAGGAAAAAAGAAAAGAAAAAAAGAAUGAGAGGUCUAUUGAUUGAAUAAGAGGUAAUUAAUUGAUUGAAAUAUAUGUCAAUAAAUAACUAAAGUUAUGUUAGGAAUUUGAAAUGAGGUCUAGUGAGUAAAUACUUAUAUUGAAAACUAAAAGGGAGGUGUAGAGAGAAUGAGAGGUAUAGUGAGCAAAUUUGGAGGUCUCAAUAGCCAUACUCAUUUUAAAAUCGAAGCCCUCCAAUGAGUCAUUCACUCAUUGGAACUCUCAAACUACGAGUGGCUUGAUCCCCUCUAGAGUACAAUUCAGGUGCAGCCGCAAAAACAAACAAACCCACAAUGGUUUCUUGAUAAAUAGAAUCAAAGGAAGUUCCCUCGUAACAAGUUAUUAUAAUAAAGAGACAUGUUCUUUCUUCAAUGGGUCAAACCAGACAUAAUUAAAACUCUGUUAUUAUGGUUAUCAGUCCAAAAAUUCAUUUUAGGCAUGCGUUAUAAAGCAAUUCUUCUUUAGACCACAAUAUAUAAGAGAAAUUUUUUUAUAUUUGCAACAGAAGUAAUGCUAGGUGAACCACUAUUUGGGAAACCACCUUAGAGCCCACUUUACGUGGUAGCUGAUAUGGCAUAUCCACGUCAUCAAAACUUGAUUUCUUAUUCUUUUAUAUUUGUAUUUUUCUUAAUUCCUUUUUUUUCUUUUAGUUUCUCUUUUUAUCUUGUAAACUCUUUUUUUUAUUUUUUUAUUUUUAUUUUUAUCUUGUGAGCUAAUCUGCAAACGUCUUCAACUUUCUUAUGUUCGCAUAUGCGAGGUCUUCCAUUCUAAAAAAGUUUCUGUAACAUCUUCUAUUCUCUUCUGUCAAAUCUCACACUUCGUUUUCAAUUGAUCAACUCCCUCUAUUUGAUUUUGGUUACCUCACAAGCCUUCUCUUUGGUUAAUUUUUUUUUCUUUCGUGUAUGAAAUACAAAUAACAUGUUUGGAACUAGGGUUCAUGGGAUGUGGAUUUGAAUUUUAGUUUAGCAUGGUUCUUGUGUUCUUCUUGGAUCCUAAAUUUUGGUUUAGCAUGGUUCUAGUGUUCUUCUUGCACCUCUACUUCUGUAUUAUUCCCAUUAGUCCUACCAUAGAAACCUCAAGUGAUACUAGGUCCAUUUGGCAUGGUUACCAAACUGAUCUAAAUGAGUACCCCAACACCAAUGUCAUACCACGACUCCAAUUCCAAUCUUGAUGACUUUAAGUUUGAUUUCUAACUACAUAAUUAAAGAAGAACACAAUAAACAUGAUGAACCCUAAUUCAAAUCCAAUUCACCCUAAACCGUAAUUCCAAACUAGCUAUUACCUUGUUUGGAAUAGGGCAAAGCAUUUGUUACCGAUGCGCUUAAUUAAGAAGAGCUGAUUAAUUGAGAGAAGGUGAGAGGAUUGAGAGGAGAUCGAUGUGAGACGAGAAGAGCAAAAGAAAACAUCUAGACGUUGAAGCAGAAGCUAUGAAAGAAACUAAAAAAAUAGGGUUUAAAAUAGGCCUGUAAAAUGGGUAGGGCUGGGUCGACCCAACCCUAAUUAAGAUAUGAUGCCCUGGGCUUUUUCAGCCCUACAUAUAAAAUGGGCAAGGCAGAGCCGACCCUAUCAAAAUAUUAGAAAAUGUAUGGACCAGAAAAGCCCUCCCGUGACCCAAACAAUAAAAGAAAUUAAAUUCAAAGUUAUUUAUCAACUUAUUGAAGAAGACAGUAAACAUUUUACAUUUAAAUAACAAAAAUUACUUUUAGAGUAAAUUUUUGUAGUGUAAAUGAAACUGUAAUACAUUUAUUACACUAAUCUUAUAUUUUUUAACUAGCUCAUUCAUGUAAAAACAUAUACUUACCCUGUUGGACCUAAAAUAUACCAUAUGCGCAGGGUCAUGGGCCAACCCAGGACUUCAGAAGUGCUACCCAUACCCUGCCCGUUUUAAAAGGGCCGAGCAAAGCCCGCCUGUUGGCUUGGGCUAGGCCAACCCAUGACCCAAAAAAUUGGGCUAAGUUUGGGCAUGCCCAGCGGCCUUGGGUUGAGAUUACAGGCCUAGUUUAAAAGAUAAAACUAGGCUGAGAUUACAAGCCUAGUUUAAAAGAUAAAAGAGAGAAACUAAAAGAAAAAAAGUAGUUAUAGUAAUUAAGAAAAAAUAUAUAUAAAAGAAUAAGAAAUUAAGCUUUGAUGACGUGGUUAUGCCACAUCAGCUAUCACAUAAGAUGAGUUCUACGUGGUUUCCUAAAUGAUUGUUCACCUAGCAUUACUCAAAUUCGAAUACUGAGUUGCAGUAAUAAUUUCAUUGACCAGAGGUUAACUUAUAAUACUAAGAUGGUAAGGAAAUUAAAACAACACAGUUCAGUUGCAGCAUAUGUUACCAAUGAAGUCUGGAAUUUGACGCCCAUCAGGCCCCGUUUGAUUGGUGGGAAAUCAUGAUACGGAAAGGGAAUUACUUUAAUUUCCAUUAAAUUGUCAUGUUUGGUUAUGUCAUCCGCAUGGAAAGGAAACUAAAAUAAAAAAGUCGACCGGAGUCCAAUACCAUGUAGGAGGUGGUAUUUCAUUUCCCACACUAGACGGAAUUGAAAAUUUACUUAUAUUAAUUGUUCCUUUUAAAAUCUAAUCAAUUAAUGGUACUUUAAUUACACAUUAUUUUCUAAUUUUUCAUAUUUAAUUUGAUUGGAUAUUAUUGGAAAGUCAUUAACAAAUUAAUUAUUUCAAACCUUUCCUAAUCUCAAGUCUUAGAUUAUUCCAAACAUCACAAAUGGAAAUGCUACAUCAAUUCCAUUCCAUCCUUGAAAGGAAAAUGACUACAAUUCCUUCCCCUUCAUCACAUUCCAGUGUAUCUCCCGGUGGCGUACCCAAAAUAGGUUUCUCCAUAUGGCCAGAAGUUGGCCUGGGCAGUCCUGGGAGUGUUGAUGUAGUGAAUCCCCAAACACAAACAAAGGCUUGUGUCCCUUUUGAACAGAGAAGUGACCAAGGCAACUGCUGGAUAUGAAUAAUUGAUCGGAUCAUAGAAAUAAAGGUGAUGCUCUUACUGUCAAGUAUAUAUAUACAAAUAAAGUCUAUAUAUCAUUGCCUCCGGGCCGCAAGGCUUUUAUUGAGAUCACUGUGAAAAAGAUGAACGUUUUCAAGAACUUAGGUACACCCGAAAACGAUGUAGUAUUUCAAGCUUUUGUAUGUUUAAGGAAUAAAAGUAUGAGGGUCGUAACUAAUAUCAAUUCAAGACUUAGGGGUAACUAGCUCUACGCUCGUUUGAAGUUUGAUUGUUACUAUGAAGAAAUGUCAAGCUCAAUUUCACAGAGAUAAAAGAUCGAUCUAUUACAUAUGGGUAUUGGGUAAGUACGCACUAGGAAAAUUGAGUCAGCUAGUAAGGAGUUGUCCAAGAAAACACUAACAUGAACACAACAGAUGAUAAUCAUGAUAUAUAUGACAAAAUUUUGAAGUGGAACACAACAUAUUAUACCUUCAAAAAAGAAAGAAAAAUAACACAACAAAUAUAUAUAUAUAGGCCUUUUUAGAUACAAACAUCCUUAUUUAUUCAAAAAGUACUAAUUUUCUUAAUUUGACUAACUUUUCUAUUAUAUUUUCUCAUCUUAACCGUUCACAUUGUAGGUAUAUAUGAGUAGAUCAUCUCUACAAAUUUUCAGCUAAUUUGAAUAUCGUUAAGGUAUCGAAAAUGAAAUAAAUCAAUGAACAAAUUGAAACUGUUCAACCUGAACAGUUCGCAUUUUUAGUUCUAAAUCAUUAUUUUUGAAUGUCUUAACGAUUAUCAAUUUGACUAAAAGUUUGUAGAGAUGAUUUAUUCAUUUAUACCUACAAUGUGAACGAUUAAGAUGAGAAAAUAUGAUCUAAACAUGGGUCAAUUAAGAAAAUAUGUACCUUUUGAAUAAAUAAAAAUAUUUAGACCUGAUAAUAAUAUAUAUAUAUAUAUACGUAUUUUUCUCAGCUGCUGCCGUCCGCACAACUUUGGUGCGGAUUUCCAUUUNNNNNNNNNNNNNNNNNNNNAACUGAAAUAACGAUGCAAAUAGAGGGGCAUGACUCAUAAGGGUUGGGUACUGUUCUGUGAACAGUAACCCUCCCCCCCCCCCCCCCCCCCCGCCCUUCGCUUAAUAUAUACAGAUAUGGAAGACAGUCAGAGAUCAGGAACAUCGAUGCAAUAAACAUAUACUCCCACAUAUAUACACAGACUCGCACCACUUAAAAGAAGGGAGCAACUUCAUAUGAAUAAGAACUAGGAUUAACCUCACCUGACAGCCAUGACAGAUAUCUAAUUUCCAAAACUAGAUUAGGGGGGCAACACUACACCUUUGCUUAACUAGGUAGAGUAGCGAGAUCUUUUCAAAGAUCACUACAGUAAACAACAACUUCAUAACUCCAGGGGAAAAAUUCCUUUAAUCAAAUCAAACAAAAUCAGAAAUUCGUCCCAAGCUCUAACCAAACAUACAUAUAGAUUUGACUACUAUACCCCGUCCUAUUUGAUCAAUACAACUAUCAAUAAAUUAAACAAAACGGAAGAACUUCACCUCCUAGCAUUCACAAUGAGGAACCACUCAUAGAAAACAGUGGUUAUCACCUACCAUUCAUAAUGAUGAACCAAGAAUACAGUUAUUGGAUGUAAACGUAUUAAAUUGAGGAACUCAUAUAUAGAACUCUAAGUGUGAGCUAACAUCAAGAUCAUAAUUUCAUAAUAAUAACCUUUUGUCGAUUAUUCAAAGCAAAGAAAGAUAUAACCCAGUGAAAGCUCCAAACUUUUAAGCACACAGAAAAUAAUGAAACACAAAGAUCAAUGCCUUCAGCCACUUAUAUCAUUCUGUAUUCCCAAAACACAAUUUAGUAAGGUCCGAGGUAUGAACCUAGGCUCUGAUACCAUUUUGUAACACCCUGACCCAGAUUAACGGAUGAUAAAUCCAAGAUUAGGGUGUCACGAAAUGGUUUAGAAACAUCAAUUAGGUCUUACCGCGAUUGAGAAGAUCAAAUACUGUAGUUGGAUUUUCAUGAGAUUUAAACACAACCCCAAAAGACAUAAACCCAGAUGAAAUCAUAAAUACCCGAAACGAGGAGCUGGAGCUUCCAGCCUUCCCACCCGGCCCCUCUCCCCUCCUUCCGAUCCCUUUUCUGCCUAAAAAGAUCGAGAAAGUUGGUGGAGGGUGAUAAGAUCAGGGAGGUCGUUGUCUUCCUCUAACUCCUUCUCAGAUAAGAAACGAAAAUGGGAGAAAGCGAGAGAGAGAGAGAGAGAGAGAGAGAGAGAGAGAGAGAGAGAGACGUACCNNNNNNNNNNNNNNNNNNNNNNNNNNNNNNNNNNNNNNNNNNNNNNNNNNNNNNNNNNNNNNNNNNNNNNNNNNNNNNNNNNNNNNNNNNNNNNNNNNNNNNNNNNNNNNNNNNNNNNNNNNNNNNNNNNNNNNNNNNNNNNNNNNNNNNNNNNNNNNNNNNNNNNNNNNNNNNNNNNNNNNNNNNNNNNNNNNNNNNNNAUUUUUAGUCCUGCAAUGAAUGUUAACGUGGUUAAGCUGCAGUGAAAAAGAAAAAGAAAAACAAAAGACUCCUGUAACGAACUGAAUUCAAGUACUUUUGAGUUCUGAUAGCCCUUCUAUCGUCUUAUUCUCCUCUUUUCUAUCUUUCUUCCAUGAACAUAAGGUGUUUCUCUUUUCAUUCUUGCAAGUAAUCUAUUCUACAUAUGAUUCUAUUGUGUAAUUUCGAACUUUUGAUUUGAACUGAAUUUUGUUUUGCCUUCACCUGACAACUUUUGAAGGUGCGAGAACAUUGAUUCUUUAUUCGAUGAAACAAUCUGGUGAUGAAGGAUUGUGCCUAAACACAGAAGAAGUAGAAAAAGUGGUUAUGAAAAUAUGGCCAUGCGAGGAUUGAGAAAUACGAGAAUGACAUUUUGGGGUUUGAUUCAAUUCAAUGUUGGAUUUGAGAUUCGCAGAUCAAGUACUUCACAUGCUGGUAAACUACAUCGUAGAUCUAGGUUAUACCCCAUAUUCUGAAUUUGGUGAAAAAACAUCUUUCACAAGGACUUAAAGGACUUGAUUACCAAAAAUCAGAUCUAGGUCCCUAUCAUAUACAUAUGAGGAAUUGAAGAACAUAUAUUCUUGGCUGCUAAUAAUGCAUGCGAUCACAAUGAUACAUGUUCAUAUGAGAGAAGUAGUGGAGACAGAAUAGAAGGCAACGACAGAGUGAACAACACCGUCAGGUAUUGUUUUUUUCUUUUUUAUAUCUUAAUUCCUCCUUUAAUUAUCAUUGUCUAAUCUAGAUCAUCAAAAUAUUCCCAUGGUGUAAAUUUUAUGAACUUCACCUAAAGUUACUUAGAGGAGUCGAAUCCGACACGGUUUCUAUGGCCUAUUUAUCCACACACACACCAUUAAUCUUACGGACGAAUAUUAACGUAGCCAUCAGAGAAUUAUACUGUGAACCAUAUGAAUAAGUUGAUCAGUAUACGUAUUUCGAAUCCAGGUCUCUCUGCAUGAUCAACUUUUUGGAAGAAAAUUAAAUUAUGCUUGAUGAAACAAACGCCCAAUGUCGAAACUUCAAUAUAUCGAAAGCUUGUUGUACGUGAAAGCUGCCAAAUUUUGUAGUUAUGUUUUCUUCCGUUCUCUGUUUCAUAUGAUAUUUACAUGUAAUCCACAUGCAAGUUAUACUCCUGAAAGAUGUGUGUUUGUGCAUGUCUAAUAUAUAUGCACGCAUAGGGUUCAAACUUAGGGUCUGGUUCAAGGGACACAAAUUUUGACACUAUUUUUUACACUAAUUUUUAUCCAUUAGAUCUUAGUUGAUCAAAUGGUUGUCAUUAACUAUGAGUAUGACUUGGCAAGUGACAUGACAAUAAUAUAUUUUCCAAAUAAAAAAGGUCAAAGAUAAAUGAGUUUAAUUUAACAAUUUUCUUUAAAGAAAAUCAAAGGAAAAGUUUUACAUUGACCUCUAGAAGAUAGAACAUGGUGUUCUUCAACGAAAAAAGAAAAUCCAGGAAUUCACAUAUGAAAAAGAGGUGUGUGCUCAUAUUCAUGUAUGCCAUCAAAUACGUACAAUGAUUUGUAAACAAUCUAAUUGAUCAUCUUAAUUGAAUGGACAAUUCAAUCAAUCAUGUUAUAUAGGAUUUGACUCACCCGGGAAACCCUAAUUUGUAAACUCUUAGUACCUCUGCAAACUUGACGCACCUGGACAAACCUAAUUCUUUACUUGUAGAAUACAUAGGAAUGAAUCACACUAUAUGAUACUGAACUACAUCUAAUUAUCCAUAUCUACACUCUUCUUUUAUCACUGCCUUUUUUUUCAUGAAGAUGGCCAUGGCCUUAUUGGGUAUUACUUGAAGAGGGAAGCACACCUUCUAUGCCAUACCUGGAAUUCAUUUGGAAUUCUUCUGCACUCAAUCGUGCAAGAUUUUGCUUUGAUUUUCUUUAAAAAAGAAAAUUUUCAAAUCAAUUCGUUUAUUUUUUAUUUGGAAAAUAUAUUAUUGUCAUGUCACUUGCCAAGUCAUACUCACAGUUAAUGACAACCAUUUGAUCAACUAAGAUCUAAUGGAUAAAAAUUAGUGUAAAAAAUAAUGUCAAAUUUUGUGUCCCUUGAACCGGACCCUCAAACUUAAGACUUGUUGCAUGACGUUUGCUUAAGAAUCUAACUAGGUGGAGUUUGGACGUACUGGUCAAGAAUCAAAGAUCAACUAGUAACAAGAACAAUCUUGAAGCAUUUUAUUCGAUCCAAGAUUUACAAACUUGAUAAUUCUGUUACAUGCCUUGAACUUUCUUAUAUCAUCAUCAUAUGACUCUGUUCUUGGAUUUAUAUGAAGGAAAAAAUUGAAGCUCUAAUACUCUCCCCAUGAAACAUAACUAAAAGAAAUUGUCUCAUUAAAUCACUUUUUGGUUUUGUUUACAUAUGAAUGAUAUCAUUGGUUUGAUUUACAUACAUUGUUAGUUCAUCUCAAUAAUUUGAGAGAGUUGUGAUAAAAACUAAGAAUGAAAAAAGUGACAGUCAAAAAACUCAUCUUAGAUCUUAACAACGUCGCACGUAGCUAACAACGCAUCCUCAUUGCUUAUAUUAUUGGAGAAAUAUGAUUUUAGGGGUUGACAAUCACCUACUAAUGAAGUUGACAUAACUAAAUGACUACAUAAUAUAAUGUUCAUGACUUUAGGUGAGUAAUUGACUUCUUUUUUUGAAAAUGUGAGUAAUUGACUUAAAAAAUAGGUAAUUGUUUCUCGCUUCUACCAUACAUCAAAUACUAGUGCGAGUACUAAAUAGAACAUAUGUCCAAACCCCCCCCUCCCCCCCCCCCCCCCAAACGUGAUGUUUCCUACUUGACCUCAUUCAAACAAGGGAAACAAAAUCUCAGCCCAUACAAGGACAACUCAUAACUACUACAUAUUGUUCUUCAAAAGAUCUCAAUCUCGGGAGUGGAAGACGGUAAGACGCUAGGGCUCGAAGUUGAUCUGGUUCAGGUGAGAAAACUUGUAGUUAGUUUUGGUCGCCGGAUAUAGAUAUAUUAAUGCUGGUACUAGUUUUGAUUGAAUUGAAUCUCGCUUUUGUAGGCAAUAUAAUGGCUUUUCGCUUUUUGUUACAAAGAUGGGGAACAUUUGUGUUCCGAGUGGGCGCACAAUAUUGGUAGAAAACAAGAUGGGGAACAUUUGUGUUUGGAGUGGGCGCACAAGAUUGGUAGAAAACAAGUCAAUUUGGUCUGAUUUGGGAUACCCACUUCAGGUAAUUAAAUCCAUGCUUUAAUUGUGUUCCAUGAAACUUUCACCAUAUAUCCAAUUUUGAUUCAUGUAUAUGAAACCACUUUCUCGUUGUCUUAUUAACCCAACUAGAAAUAUAAAUCAGCAUUUCCUCAUUGUCUUAUUAACUCAACUGAGUACAUAUGGAUACAAUUAUAUAAAUUCGUAAUGACUAUUUAGUUCCUAGAUAACACAUUCAUGCAUUACAUAUACCCUCCUAAUGCAUGCAUCCGCCCAAUAUAACAUUUGACCUACAACUUCUAAAAUUAGUUUAAAUCUAAAUUUAGAAGUUUUUAUUGCUACUCACCAAAAAACUUGGUUCAUCUAUUCUCAAUCCUUUCCAAACCUCCUCCAUCACCUGAAUAGUGUUACAAACAUUUUCUAAAAAAAAAAAACCCUUUGUAACACUUUCUUUCAGGUGAAAGAGGAGGCUUGGAAAGGAUUGAGAAUAGAUUAACCAAAUUUUUUGGUGAGCAGCAAUAAAAACUCUUAAAUUUAGAUCUGAACUGAUGUCAGAAGUUGUAGGAACAAAUGUUAUAUUAGGCGGAUGCAUGCAUCAGGAGGGUAUGUGCAAUGCAUGAAUGUGUUAUCUAGGAACUGAAUGGUCAUUACGAAUUUAUAUGAUUGUAUCUAUAUGUACCCAGUUGAGUUAAUAAGACAACGAGGAAAUGCUGAUUUAUAUUUCUAGUUGAGUUAAUAAGACAAUGAGGAAGUGGUUUCAUAUACAUGAAUCAAAAUUGGAUAUAUGGUGAAAGUUUCAUGGAACACAAUUAAAGCAUGGAUUUAAUUACCUGAAGUGGGUAUCCCAAAUCAGACCAUUGACUUGUUUUCUACCAAUAUUGUGCGCCCACUCGGAACACAAAUGUUCCUCAUCUUUGUAACAAAAAACGAACAGCCAUUAUAUUGCCUACAAAAGCGAGAUUCAAUUCAAUCAAAACUAGUACCAGCAUUAAUAUAUCAAUAUCCGGCGACCAAAACUAACACAAGUUUUCUCACAUGAACCAGAUCAGUUUCGAGCCCUAGCGUCUUACCGUCUUCCACUCCUGAGAUUGAGAUCUUUUGAAGAACAAUAUGUAGUAGUUAUGAGUUGUCCUUGUAUGGGCUGGGCCUUUGUUUCCCUUGUCUGAAUGAGGUCAAGUAGAAAACAUCACUUGGGGGGGGGGGGGCUGGUCUUUACAUCAAAUGUUUGGACAAAUGUUCUAUUUAGUACUCGCACUAGUAUUUGAUGUAUGGUAGAAGCGAGAAACAAUUACCUAUUUUUUAUGUCAAUUACUCACAUUUUCAAAAAAAGAAGUCAAUUACUCACCUAAAGUCAUGAACAUUAUAUUAUGUAGUCAUUUAGUUAUGUCCACUUCAUUAGUAGGUGAUUGUCAACCCCUAAAAUCAUAUUUCUCCAAUAAUAUAAGCAAUGAGGAUGUGCUGUUAGCUACGUGCGACGUUGUUAAGAUCUAAGAUGAGUUUUUUUACUGUCACUUUUUUCAUUCUUAGUUUUUAUCACAACUCUCUCAAAUUAUUAAGAGAUGAACUAACAAUGUAUGUAAAUCAAACCAAUGAUAUCAUUCAUAUGUAAGCGAAACAAAAAAAUGAUUUAAUGAGACAAUUUCUUUUAGUUAUGUUUCAUGGGGAGCGUAGUAGAGCUUCGAUUUUUUCCUUCAUAUAAAUCCAAGAACAGAGUCAUAUGACGAUGAUAUAAGAAAGUUCAAGGCAUGUAACAGAAGCAUUAAGUUUGUAAAUCUUGGAUCGAAUAAAAGACUUCGAGAUUGUUCUUGCUACUAGUUGCUCUUUGAUACUAGCUGGUCUUUACAUCAAAUGUUUGGACAUAUGUUCUAUUUAGUACUCGCACUAGUAUUUGAUGUAUGGUAGAAGCGAGAAACAAUUACCUAUUUUUUAAGUCAAUUACUCACAUUUUCAAAAAAAGAAGUCAAUUACUCACCUAAAGUCAUGAACAUUAUAUUAUGUAGUCAUUUAGUUAUGUCCACUUCGUUAGUAGGUGAUUGUCAACCCCUAAAAUCCUAUUUCUCCAAUAAUAUAAGCAAUGAGGAUGUGUUGUUAGCUACCGGCGACGUUGUUAAGAUCUAAGAUGAGUUUUUUGACUGUCACUUUUUUCAUUCUUAGUUUUUAUCACAACUCUCUCAAAUUAUUAAAAGAUGAACUAACAAUGUAUGUAAAUCAAACCAAAGAUAUCAUUCAUAUGUAAGCAAAACCAAAAAAUGAUUUAAUGAAACAAUUUCUUUUAGUUAUGUUUCAUGGGGAGAGUAGUAGAGCUUCAAUUUUUUCCUUCGUAUAAAUCCAAGAACAGAGUCAUAUGACGAUGAUAUAAGAAAGUUCAAGGCAUGUAACAGAAGCAUCAAGUUUGUAAAUCUUGGAUCGAAUAAAAGGCUUUGAGAUUGUUCUUGCUACUAGUUGCUCUUUGAUUCUUGACCAGUACGUCCAACUCCACCUAGUUAGAUUCUUAAGCAAACGUCAUGCAACAAGUCUCAAGUUUGAACCCUAUGCGUGCAUAUAUAUUAUACAUACACAAACACACAUCUUUUAGGAGUAUAUAUAACUUGCAUGUGGAUUACAUGUAAAUAUCAUAUGAAACAAAGAACGGAAGAAAACAUAACUACAUAGUGUGGUCAAAUGUUUGGACUAGAGGUUUAGUUUGGCAGCUUUCACAACAAGCUUUCGAUAUAUUGAAGUUUCGACAUUGGGCUUUUGUUUCAUCAAGCAUAAUUUAAUUUUCUUCCAAAAAGUUGAUCAUGCAGAGAGACCUGGAUUCGAAAUACGUAUACUAAUCAACUUAUUCAUAUGCUUCACAGUAUAAUUCUCUGAUGGCUGCGUUAAUAUUCGUCCAUAAGAUUAAUGGUGUGUGUGUGGAUAAAUAGGCCAUAGAAACUGUGUCGGAUUCGGCUCCUCUAAGUAACUUUAGGUGAAGUUCAUAAAAUCUACAUCAUGGGAAUAUUUUGAUAGUCUAGAUUAGACAAUGAUAAUUAAAGGAGGAAUUAAGACAUAAAAAAGAACAAGAAAAAAAUAAUAUCUGACAGUGUUAUUCACUCUGCCGUUAAAGUUGUAUGAAAGUUGCUUUAUACAACUUGUUAGGCUAAUUGCUGAUUAUUUUCACCUCAUUACCAAACUGAGCCUAUAUAGAACAAGAAUGCAAAAGUCAUUCGAAACUUGUUUUGUACAACUGGUUUUUACAAACAAGAUUUUGUAUCUUAAUACAAAAGUCAUGCAAAAGUCACAUACUUUCAAACUAGUUGUUUUUAAUAUCGACUGGUUUUUUUAUCAAUCAACAGGUUUUUUUAAUACUAUCAUGAUUUUUGUUGCAGAUUAGAAACUAUGGCAACACAACAAAGUUUGAUUAUAUAGGCAAGAAAGCAGAUCACAGUCCACAUUUUAUGAAUCAGAUUUAUCAACAGCAUUUCGCUGACAAUGUGAGCAUAAUAGUAUUAUAUGCUUUAUCUAUAUUGAUAUAUUUUCAGUGAAAUUUAUCUAAACUAAUAUAACAAACUCAUACUUGUCAAUUAUAUGCAUUAGAGAUGCAUUUACUGGGCCGUCAAAGCUCUUGUCAAUUGAAGGAGUUCUUAUUGAUUUGGACCAUUUUCAUAAAAGUGCUACAUUUGGUAAAUCAGAGAAGCAGAGGUUUAAAGUAGGCAUUGCAGCAUGCCAUGACAGCUGGAGUUCUAACAGAAAAAACUUACCUGAAGAAGAAAGUAAGUUUCUUUGGGUUUAUAUGGAUUUGCACAUAUUAGAGCUUGAAUCAGUUUACAUGUUUUAAUUUAUUACAGAUAAUCCAGCCUCGACUCAUAAUGAUCAAGGAUUAUAAGGUGAUUCAAGGAAAACACAACAUUUUGAAAGAAAGUGUAGACCAAUCACUAUUGGGGGAGUUCCUUGUCAUGCCUGGUUUAAAGGACUAUACCGGAGGUCUCAUCAGACAUGAAGAUGUUGCUCAAGUGUUUAAGAGGAGUUCAAGGUUUCAGUGCCCAAGCUGCAGAAAGUGUAAGUCUAUAUCUUCUCUUAGAUUUGAAUUGUUUUGUUUUAGAAGAGUUGAAGUUUCUUACACUUUGUGUUUAUCUGUUAAAGGGAAACAAAAACCAUUUUACUGUGAUGACUGUGGAGUAAAUGGGAAACAUGGGCAUGCAGUGGUCAUUACUGGGUUCAACGCUACCGGAAAGCCAAGGGAUUUUCACAUCAAAUUUCUAAACAGUUGGAGGGAAGGCUGGGGGGAAGAGGGCUUUGGAAGGCUUCAUCUGACAGAGCAGAAGUUGGAAAUAAACAAAUUUAAGUUCAAAGGAAUUCUCAACAUUGAAGCACAAGCUUAUAAGAUUGUAGUCUGUAAUCCCUAUCUGUAGUUCUUUUGUAUUUUGAUUAUGAGAUUGUAGUCGCGUCCCUAUCUGUAGUUCUUUUGCAUUUUGAAGCACAAGCUUAUAAGAUUGUAGUCUGAAACCCCUAUAUGUAGUUCUUUUGGAUCUUGAUUAUGAGAUUGUAGUUGCAUCCCCAACCCUAUUCUAUCAUAUGAAGGUGCUAAAUACAAAACUAAACAAAAUUAAAAGAUCGGUGAUUUCCAAUAGAGUAUUUGAAAAAGAAAAAAAAAUUGUGCUAAGUGAUUACCUGUAUAUUUGAUAAGGAGAUGGGAGACAGAGUGAGAGUAAACCUAUGUACGCUUUGUGCCUGACGAUCCAACUCAUAGAGAAGAAGAUGGGAGAACUAGGGCCGAAGCAGAUUAACCUUUACAAAUCUAUGAAGAACAUAAAAAAGAAUAAUACAGAGAGUGAAAAUAUGUACGCUUCUUGCCGGUCGAUAUCCAUCUUAUAGAGAAGAAGAUGGGAGAAUCAGGGCUGAAGUAAAUUGAUCUUUACAAAUCUGUGCGAGCUAAUGAACAAGACUAACAGAGAGAGAGAGAGAGAGAGAGAUAUUGUGAUUAGGGUAACCCAAAUCUGUGUCGAGCUAAUGAACAAGACUAACAGAGAGAGANNNNNNNNNNNNNNNNNNNNUCGGAUAAGGAUCCUCUCCUUGUCUGGCCUAUAUCCUUGUGUAUCCUUGACUUCUAAUCCUAUCCAUUAAUUAGAUAUCCAAAGGUCAUAAUCACAUCACCUCAGCAUUUUUCUAUUAAAUAUUCAAAAGUUGGUUUUCCAAUACAAACAUCAACGUUUUCUCACAAUCCUUCGUUAACAAACAGAUCGAGUCCAAAAACAAUUAGAAGACCAUCUCGUCAUCUUCAUCCUUCUUCUCAACUCACCCAUGUGUGAGUGAUAAUACUAUAUCUUCAAUAUCAGUCUCCAAACUCAUUCUUCAAUCUCAAAACCCAUCCUUCAAAUCAAUUACAAUGUAAGAUCUAGAUCCAUUCGUUCAUGGCAGUGCUACGGAGGUGAUGUUGCUCGUGACGACGGCAACGAGGGAGGAGUUGACAGCGGCGAGGUCAUUAAUUGCGUAUGGGCUGCAACUCCUCCGCCAUCCUCAACGACAAUGGCCCUGCCGUCGCUGACGAUCUAGGCCUCCCGAUUCGUGAUUGUUUCCAAACCUUAACCCCCAGCCGCCGCCACCACCACCACUGCGCCCGCGACCGCGGUUUGCCGGAUCGAAGCCCUCCGUCACUGAUGAAUUUGGUGUUUAGGCAGUCAAGGGAGUGAGAUUGAAGCUGUAUUUUUUUUUUUUUAAUUUUUGCCCGAAGCAGCAGUGUAUGCUUGAAAUCCAGAUGGAUAAAAGUAACACCACCUUCUCACCAGGAUUUGAAAUGAAGGUCUGCCGAGAUUAAAAUUUUCAGGUUACUCCAUAUCUGACCAUCCAAACACAACUUCAAACCAGAUUGGUAAUAAUUAAUCUUGUCAUCCUGAAAAACAAACAGCCCCGAUCUGUUUGUUAACGGAGGAUCGUGAGAAAACGUUGGUGUGUGUAUUGGAAAACCAACUUCUGAAUAUUUAAUAGAAAAAUGCUGAGGUGGUGCGAUUAUGACAUUUGGAUAUCUAAUUAAUGGUCAGAAUUAAAAGUCAAGGAUACACAAGGAUAUAGACCAGACAAGGAGAGGAUCCUUAUCCAACCCCCUCAUAUGUGAAAGAGAAAAAGAAUAAGCUUGGUCUAUAGUUUUACAAAAAUGUCCCUAUAACUCCGGAGCGGAUUCCAUGCACCUUGGUUCCAGUGAACCAGGUGUGUGCAAGUCACGUGCUUUGACUGAUCUAAUACCAACGUUAGUCAGUCGUUGAAAACAAAAAAAUGGAAAUACAGUAAAAGCCAGAAUUACCACGAGCAGUACUCUCUCGCCUCCUACCCACUGUUUCAAUCCCGUCAUUGCCUCCAAUAUAAAAGUUCAUCGUCGACCCAGUACUUCUUCUCCAUCGCGUGCCUACACGGUGGGAGGUGGAAGGCCUCACCGAUUAAGGAUUUGUCGCUAAAAAAAAUUGAUUCAAAAUUUGGCGGCUGAGCAGGUCGGCGCCCAUCUCUAUUACCUCGACUCUCUCCAUGUCACUCUCUUUUAGAAGGGGAGAGCACCGCCGUAUCUGACUGUGUGUUGCACUGUUGCCCACCCUGGGUUUGUGCCAAAUUUCGAAUGGUGGGGAAGAAUGAGAUACUGGGAGAGAUGAUUGAUGUUGGUGCAACACGUGGACAAUAAAAACUUGAUUGAUUGGUAACUAUGGACCCCCGUAUUGACCCAUUUUACCUUUUUUGAUUAAUUAUGCUCAAUUUUUUUUUUUUCGAUGUCAAACGAUGAUGUGUACGAUUGUGCCUAUAACUAAGCACAUUUCAAUCAGUAUUGAAAAAGAAAUUUUUUUUUUUGCUGAUUAAAAUGUUGAAAAAAAGAAGUUGGGAUCGAAUAAAUUUUGUGUGGGCUUAAUAAUAUGGUCUAACUAACUAGUUUAUACGGAUAUAUAAUUAUAUCUCUUAGGUCUAACAAAGUUUAAGAACAGAGCAAAAAUAUGGAUAAUGGUUUAAAAAAAAUAAAUUUCGUCUUUGCGUUGGCUCCUCAUGGAGUCAUGGUCAACUCAAUACUAUAUACUCGUCAAGUCAAAAUGUGUGAAACACUCAUUUGUAAAUUCUUUUCUUAAUUCGUUAGCGACUCAGCGCUCACACUCUCGUACCUAUCGAAUUAUGUCAAACCAUGUAAACAAGCAUUUAUGUAUGUUCUCUCUAUGUGAUUAUUCUCCGCUUAUGCAACCAAUUAGCAAUAUGCAGGUGAACCAAGAGUCAUCAUGCAAUCUGGUAGUGAACCAAGAUUGCAUGUGUUAAAUAUUUGGCUAGUGGGAAUAAAACAGUUAAAAACUGGGCGGAUGGGAAAAAACCCUUAAUUUAUCGAGGUUUUACAUUAAUAUNNNNNNNNNNNNNNNNNNNNGUGUAUAUAUAUAUAUAUAUAUAUUAUUGGUGUUUAAGGAAAAUUUAAAAACAUGUAUGCAAUCAACUUUAAAUAAUUAUUAACCUCAUUUAUCUAGGAAUGACGAUCUACAAGGUAGGCCGAUUUUUUUUCUUCAAAAUAAGCAUGAUAAUUAACUACGGAGAAAAUACAUGAUUAAUUAGGCAAGGUCAAAUUGCCGAAAAUUUGUACAAUAAUAGUUGAAGUUCGGCAAUCGAUCAAAAGCUUAUAGUCACCAAAUUUUGGAGAUCGGAUUUGAAUGUUAUUUAUAUCGUUUUAGGAAAAUAAAAAAUUAACAAUUCAUUAUCUUAAUUCAAACCUAAACAAUGAUAGACAUGACUAAUUUUACACGAUUCAUAUUACCAAACCAUAUAUAUGUUAGAGAGGAAAGAUCCCACAUCAGAAAAUGGACAAAGAAAAAUAUAACUUAUAAGUGGAUGAAUCAUACCUAAUUGUACUGAAGCUUUUUGUGGUUAAAAACUAACUCUGGUGGUUAAAUUGAGACAAUAUCAGUAUAAUAGUGAUAUACGUGCCACGUUUGUCCUUGUUCAAGUAUAUAUAGGCAAUGUCGAGUGACUCGAGUCUUUUUUGUUUCUCACAUAAUACAAUUUAGGAUAAAAUAGCUAUGCAAAAUAAUUGUCCCUAUGAUAUUCGUUUGUGUCACAAUCGACAUGAUCAAAUGUACUCUAUUAAAUAACGAUACUCAUAACCAAAAUUUUAUCUAAAUAAUGUAGGAUUCUGAAACUAAAAAAAAAAAAAAACAAGGUUGAGCAUGAGUAAUGAAAUCAUAUGUUUUGAUAUCAUCACAUAACAUUUUAUUUAGAUAAUGUAGCUCAUUUGAAAUAUAAUUAUAGAAUAAAAUGGAGUUGUCUCAAUCCGACAAAAUGAAAAUAAUCUCAAGAGAUAAUUUUGAUUCAACUUUAGUUGACUCAUGUACUUUUUUCAUUCCCUUUAAAAAUGUAAUAAUUAGGUUAAUUUUAAUUAAAAAU